This 65338-nucleotide long non-coding RNA is filed under the name Citrus maxima (pomelo). RNAcentral's name for it is "long non-coding RNA (CMAX_LNC002722)". Lineage: Eukaryota; Viridiplantae; Streptophyta; Magnoliopsida; Sapindales; Rutaceae. The record is from RNAcentral.
GCCACCAUCGAGCAUCGUGAUGACAGCAACACAAUUUCUGUUUACAUAAAUUGCAACAAUGCCGGCGCAGAGUUUGUGCACGCCAUGGCCGAUGGAGUCUCUGUUGCAGAUAUCAUUACACCUGUUUAUGUUCCUAAUGAAACUGUUUACUCUUUUUUCCCACUAAAUGGAGUAACAAACUGUCAGUGUAUCUCCGAGGCCAAGCCGUUGCUUGGGGUUCAAGUGACAGAGCUUGUGGACGGAAUCUUCAUCGCUUGCACUAUCAAUCACUCCGUUGUUGACGGCACUUCCUUUUGGCAUUUCUUCAAUUCCUGGUCUGAAAUCUCACGGGGUUCUGAUUGUAUUUCAAAACUUCCAGUUCUCGAACGUGGAUUUCUCUCUGAUUCUGAAUAUUUUCCCAGUCGCCUCCCUCUCUGGAGCAUUGAACCUUCCGGAACUCACACUCCACCGCCUAAUUUGCGACAAAGGGUUUUCCACUUUACAAAGGAAAACAUUGCAAAACUCAAAGCAAAAGCCAAUGCUGAGAUUGGUAGUACCAACAAAAUCUCCUCUCUCCAAGCAAUCCUUUCCCAUAUUUGGCGAUCUUUUACUCGUAAUCGAUCUCUUGAUCCUGAUGAAGAAGUUCAUUUCAUGUUAGGAAUGGGAGUUAGACAAAGAUUGCAACCACCACUGCCACCAGAAUAUUUUGGAAAUGCAGCUCAGGUACUGGGAGAGUUCGCAUCCAUGAAAGCGAGAGAUCAACUUGAGCAAGGGCUUGGAAAUGUGGCAUUGAAAAUGAACAAGUUCAUCGCUGCGUACACAGACGAAAAGAUAAAGAACUUCUUGGAGUCUUGGGGAAAAAACCCUGAGAUCCUAACAUGGGAUAGCCUGCCGACGAAGAAUAAUGCUUGCUUCGUAAGUAGCUCGCCGAGGUUCAAUUUCUACGGUAACGAUUUCGGGUGGGGAAGACCAAUUGCAGUAAGGAGUGGUCCAGCGAACAAGGCUGCUGAGGGGAAGAUCACCCUGUUUGCCGGAGUGGAAGAAGGGAGUGUCGACGUUGAAGCUUGCUUUUUGCCUGAGACACUGCAAGGUAUGGGAAAUGAUACAGAAUUCAUGCAAUUGGUAUCUUAAUUGUUAAAAAUCUUCCGUGUUCUGGGGCUUUGCUCAUUAACCAUUAUAUCAAUGAAAGCUUACUUUUAAAUACAUUUUUUAUGAAUUAAUGUAGAUCAAAUUUAGUAUGACAUGUUUAUGUUUCUGAUCAAAUGAUGUAUUUUCAUUGGUCAUGUGAGAAGUAAAAGAGAUCCAACCGCAAGUUGCUUCUACCAAACAUUGACUUUCAUAUUAUUGGCGUGCCUUGGCAAAAGCCCAAUUAGGAUUUCAAUUAAAAUAUAUCUAAUUUUGAUAUUUUUGAAAAAUAAAGCCAUGGUGAAAUAAUUGACAUAACAUCAAUAUUAUAUCAGUAGUUCAGUGAUUUUUUUUUUCUUUUUGGGUACUUGCACCUUGCUGAUAUAGACUUUGUAAAUUAUUCUGAAUGCUUAACAUAUUUCUUUUAAUGUGAUCAAUAAAAGUUUUAAAAGCAGUCUAACAGAUUAAUGAUAAAUAAAUUUGUUUCAUAUUAAAAAUAAUUCUCGAUGACUUGAUAAUCCUGUGAAGAAGUUCCUUUCGAACUAUCGAUAGGAGUUAGAAUAAGAUUGCAACCAUCACUGCCGCCUGAUGAAUAUUUCGGAAAUGCAAUUCUAUAAAGCGGGAGAUCAAAUUGAAUAUGCGGCACUGCGAAUGAGCAAUGUUAGUGAAACUGAUAAAAUGUGAAGAACAGAGGAAACGAGUACAUGCUGUAACUAUGUAUUUGACAGCAGCUGAAUAGCUCACUCAGCUGACGUGGCUUAGUUAGUUAUUUUGAUUUAAGCAUUCUUCACAUGUGUGUAACAAAUUGCCAACAAUUAGUAACAAGUUGCUUUCACUUGCUAUAUAUAUGUAUAAUCUGUACUCAUUCGAUUAAUGAGAAGUUUUUACAAGUUUCCAUUAUGAGUUUUUCAUUCAUUUUCCUUUUAACUUUCUCGCUUCCCAAACACAAAUACUUGAGUUUCUAUCAUGGUAUCAGAGCCAUCAAUGGUGUUGUAAAAAAUUUUAAUAUACUCGUAAGCGCACGAAUGUAGAAUAAAAUAAUGGUAAUAAGGUCAAACCCACAGGGAUUAUUAUAAAUUAAAAAGUCUAAUUUAAAUAAAUUAAUAUUAAUUCUAACCUAGUUGAACAAAUUGAGUUUCUAAUAAAAUUUAACCAAUUAAACUAAGAAAACAAUUAAAACAAAGGAGAAUUUAAUAAGACAAAAAUUACUAAGGUUUCAGAAUCCACCACUAAUCAACUAGUAAUUACCUAAUUAUUAAUUAAUCCCCAAUUUUAGAGUGACAACUCGAAAUCAAUUUAUAUCAUCUCAUGGAUAUAACAAUUAAGCCCAAAUAAAAUUAUUCUUGUGUUGGUUCUUUUUCUUCUUAAUAAUAUGAUAUCUAAGCAUCCCAUGUAAACAUAUUGAAUAACAAAGAGUCAAAGUUUUCCGAAGCACUCUGUGUAAACAAUUUAAUGAAAGACACAGAAUCAAAGAUAAUCAUGUAUAAACUUUAAAGACUCAAGCAUAAAUUUAAUCGGAUAUUAAUUGUAACAAUCAAUAAUACAUGACAAAAUUGAUGAAAAUUUUUUAAUAACAUUCAACUAAUCAUGUGAAACACGAACCAUAAAUAUUAAAGAACAUAUGUAGAGAAUUAAUUAAAUAAAAAGAUAAUUAUUUCAUUAAAUAGGGUUUCAUCUUUAACCUCAGUAUAAAAAAAUUAGUUAGACAUACUAAAAUAGAGAAUAACAAAUAAAAUAAAAUCAACCAUGGAGAAGCCGAACUGUUGUUGCUGCUGCCGCUCCUCUUCAAAGUCAAAUACUCCCUCUUUUUCUCUCCUUUGGCGGCUGCCUUCUCAAAAGCCAAAGUUGGCUUUUUAUAAUGCUUAGCCACCCACUGACUUAACAAAGCCCACUCACCAAGCCCUUUUUAAAUUGUUUCCUUAUUAAGGGUUGAAAACUAGCCACACGUUUAACUUAAAAGUAAAAGGCCAAUUAAUAGUUUCUUCUUUUAAUGCCCUGCACAUGCAUUCCAAAUUGCCAAAUCUUUGCUUUCCAAAUGCAUGCCCACCGUUCAUUAUUUGAUGAGAUUGACUUCCAAUUUUGGUCUUCUUGACUUCCAUUAAUUCUUGACUGUAUUUUUGUCUUCUAAUUUAAUCUUUAUUCCUUCCCAAUUUGAACUUCUUCAUGCCCUUUUUAUCCUUAAUCUUCAAUUAAUUUCCUAUUCAAUAAAAUAAUUCAAUUAAUUAAAAAUAACAAAUAAAAAUAACUAGUAAAUAUGUAAUUACGGGUAAAGUAUGUAUAUAAAUUAUGAUCAUCAAAUGGCAAGCAUGAUUCAAUCCAAUACAUCCUCCUCUCCUUCAAAUAAUUUCCUACCUCAUAUCCUUCGUGCACCUCCUCCCAUUGGUCAUCCUAUGAUGACCAGAUCCAAGAAUGGCAUAUUCAAGCCAAAGUCUUAUCUAUGUGCUCUUUUAGCCUAAUCAUUUGAACUUUCCUCUGUCUCUCAAGCUUUAUCUGAUCCAUUAUAGUUCAAAGCCAUGCAAGAAGAAUUUCAAGCCUUACAAGCCAAUCACACAUGAGACUUGGUACUACCUACUGCUCCUGUUAAAGUGGUUGGUAACAAAUGGGUUUUUAGAAUAAAAUACAACCCUAAUGGGUCAAUACUAAAGUACAAAGCACGGCUGGUUGCUAAAGACUUCCAUCAGAUACAUGGUAUUGACUACACUGAAACCUUUAGUCUAGUAGUAAAAGCCUCUACUGUCAGCAUUACUGUUAUGAAUAAUUGGGUUCUUCGGCAAAUAAAUGUCAAUAAUGCUUUUCUAAAUGGUAUUCUUGAUGAGGAAGUGUAUAUGACACAUCUCGAAGGAUUUAUUGAUCCUCAUAAACCUUAGCGCAUAUGCAAAUUGAGGAAAGCUAUCUAUGGUUCGAAACAAGCUCCAAGAGCUUGGUUUGCCAGACUUAAAACAACAAUGCUUUCUCAGUGGCAUUUUUAGAGCUCCAAGUCAGACAAUUCACUCUUCUAUAAGAGAGAAAAUGGUCAUUUACUUUUGGUUUUGGUAUAUGUGGAUAAUAUUAUUGUUAUUGGUUCUAGCUCAGCGAAAGUUCAACAAGUAAUUCAAGAUAUGUAGAAGACUUUUGCCUUGAAGGAUCUAGGAGAACUCAACUAUUUUUUAGGCAUUGAAGUCUCAAAACUUUAAAAUGGCAUUCAUUUAUCCCAGGCUACGUACAUUGCUGAUAUUUUGGCAAAAGAUGACUUAGUUAAUUGUAGUCUAGUGCCAACACCUAUGUCUACAGGUCAGCAACUCACCAAAGACUCAGGUUCUGAAAUUUCAAAUAUUUCUCAGUAUAGAAGCAUUAUUAAGGCCCUACAAUAUGUUACUCUCACUAGACCAGAGAUAGCCUUUACUGUCAAUAAGCUUAGCCAGUUUCUAUCUAAUCCUAGAACUACACAUUGGGAGGCUUGCAAAAGGUUGUUAAGAUAUCUAAAAGGCACAAUUCAUUUUGGUCUUCAAUUUUACAAUUGUGGAGCUAUGCAAAUCAACUCUUUUACAUAUUCAGACUGGGCUUAUGAUCGGGAUGAUAGAAAAUCAGUAGUUGGUUUUGCUAUUUAUCUAGGUGCCAAUCUGGUUUUAUGGUCAUCCACGAAACAAUUAGCUGUCUCAAGGUCCAGUACAAAAGCUGAGUACAGAGCUUUGGCUCAUGCUGCAUCAGAGGUCAUUUGGAUAUAGUUUUUACUUGCUGAGCUAAGAAUUCAGCUAAGUACUACACCAAUUAUGUGGUGUGAUAACCAGGGAGCAAUUGCCUUAGCUUAUAAUUCAGUUUAUCAUGCUAAAACAAAGCAUGUUGAGCUGGACAUUCAUUUCAUCAAAGAUAGAGUGGGAUCAAAAGAAAUAGCUAUUUGUUUUGUGCAUAGUGAAGAUCAAACAACAAAUGUCUUAACUAAGGCUCUUACUUUCACUUAGUUCCAUUACUUGCGCAGUAAAUAAAAUGUUUAUCCCAGAAACACCAGUUCCAGAGGGGAUAUAAGUAAAGAUGAUAAUUUGUGAAGAAUAAAAUAAGGGAGUAAUGUGAAAAGCAGAAACUCCAGCUUAAGAGGGGAUGUUAGUGAAACUGAUCCCUUGGAGUCCUGGAGACAAAACCUUGUGGUCUUAACAUGGGAAAGCUAGAAGACGAAAUCUUAUUGGUUUCCAAAUAGUUCGUCGAGGUUCAAUAGCAAUGAGAAGUGGUCUAGGGAAUAAAGCUUAUGGAAAUAUCACUUAGUUUACAGGAGUGGAAGAAGGUAAUAUCGACAUUUAAGCUUGCUUUUUACCGGAGACACAACAGGGUAUGGGACAUGAUACAGAAUUCAUGCCAUCUACGUGUUAACGUCUUUGGUGAUCCUAAAAUAUUACUUUCUAAUCAUUCAUUUACACGUUAUCACGUGCAAAUGAAUGGUAUCAUAAUUAGUUAAAAGCACACAAAUGAUAAAAAGUGAAUUCAUUACUAUAACUAUGCUUUAUUUAGGCACCUCAUGCAAUAAAUUAUUUCAUCUCAAAACUCAAUUUAAUAAUUAAUCCCAUGAACAUCCAUUCGUUAGAGCAUGACAACAAAAUUUAUGUAUGGCAUCUGUGGUAGAGCAUAAUAGUUGUAGAGAAAUGGAAAUUGAAAGGAAGGAGCUGGCAGCUUAUAACUGUGAUUCAAGUUUUUGCUUUAGAAUCUUUCAGAAAAAAAAAAAGUUUUUGCUUUAGAAAAUUUUUGACUCAACCUAGUAAACUGGUCAAUAAACUAUCAAAUUUGGGGCCCAAUUUGAUGGGCCUAGUUGGUUGCAGUGUUGGGUCUAGUUAGUCUCAACAAAUACUGGUCGUAGCCUCGUAGGCAGUUCGCAUUAGAGAUUUAUGAUGAUUGUAAUGUGUGAAUGAGUAAUAGAAAGCUCUAUUUAUUGGCACAAGGAGUAACCUUUGUGCGGUUGUGCAGAUAAAAAGAGAAAACAUGUAGUGGGUUAUAUGAAAUUAAAAGUAAUAUGUUGUUAUAAACACGAUUAGAAAACUCCUGAUUUAAGCCAUAAAAGCCUUCAACUCAACACCAAAGUAUUCAGGGAACUACACUCAUGGUUUGAAUAGAAAUGCACAACCAUGGUUCUAAUACCAAUGGCUAAAAUAAUUUUAAGCUUUACGGCAAUGAAUCCAUUCAACAUAUUUCAUAAGGGAGAAAAACUGCAUUUUAUCUUGGUUGGCCAUGAAAAAGACUUGCUGGUAAGCUUGUUUCUUGCCCGUUAAUUCAACCUUUUGUUCUUGGCUUCAAUCUCAACAGCAAAAUCAAGCUCCUCAUUCACUGCACACACACACAAUUAGGAGAAAGGAGAAAAAGAAAGAUAGUGUAUAAUGGAACUGCAUUUUAAAGAAAUGUGUAGAAAACAAUCAAAACCUCUACAGAAUUCUUAGUAUUUUUGUCAACACAAUACUUCUUCUUUUAAAGACAUUAAUGCCAUAGUACAAAACCUUAGCCUACAAGAUUUGUACACACAAAAUGAAAAAAGAGCCAAGUAAUUCAUGAAUAAAAAACAUAGAGCAAAGAAGGGAUAAGUAACAUAAACACGCACAUGAAAUUGGCACAGAUGAACAAAGAACGAGUUGCAAGCUCUUUAUUACCGAAAGAAACGAGCCCCAUAUCAUAUGAUCUCCCUACAAGCUUUACAACGAGCUAUCAUAUGCUUUCCAACUCUCAAAGAUUAACAAGUUAUAGGCCUUAGAAAUUGCCCUCGUAAAUUCAUUUUAAAGCUAAAUUUUCUUGCUAUUCAUGGGAUGAGCAUAUACUAUAUACAUAUUUUACCCUUAAUUAUAUAAUUGCUAAUUAUUUUUAUUUGAUAUUUUUAAUUAAUUAAUUAUUUUGUUGAAUAAAAAAUUACGUGGAGAUUAUGAAUAAAAAAAGGGCAUAAAGGAGCUCAAUUUCGGAAGCAUUAAUUAAUUGAUUUUCGGAGCAAUUAAGUAUAUUUGCAUGUGAAGUCAAGCAAAGGAAACCAAAUUCAACAAAUUGAUUCAUCCAUGCACAUGAAGACAAAGAAGAUUAUGGCCAUCACGUGAGAAGCAAUCACCAUUAUUGUUAGCAUGUGCAUGGCAUUAAAAAAGGAAUUCUAAUGCAAUUCUAAGUGGUGAGUACGUGUGAGAGCAAAACAAAUUAAAAGGCCAAGCCUUUCGGCUUUAGAAUUGGAAUGGUUGGUGGCUCAUUUUGGAGAUUAUAAAAAGAAAUAUGAACUUUGGCUUUUAAGAGGCCAACCGCGAGAAGAGAAAAAAGAGAGCAACGUUAGGCAUUCGGUAGAGGAGAAAAUAGCGGCAGAAGCUCUUUAAUUCUUUUAUGGUUGGUUUUAUUUUAUUUGUUGCUCUCAAUUCAAGUAUGUCAAGCUAAUUUUCUUUUACUGAGGUUAAAGAUGAAACCUUAUUCAAUGAAAUAAUUAUCUUUUUAUUUAAUGAAUUCCCUACAUGCGUGUUUUAAUGUUUAUGUUUUUUUAUUUUACAUGAUUAAUUGGAUGUUAUUAAAUCUUUUCAUCAAUUCUGUCAAGCAUUAUUGAUUGUUAGGAUUAAUAUUCAAUUAAAUUUAUGCUUUGGUCUAUAAAGUUUUUAUAUUAUUAUCUUUGAUUCUAUAUCUUUCAUUAAAUUGUUUACAUAGAGUGCUUAGGAAAAUUUUGACCAUUUGUUAUUCAAUAUGUUUACAUAAGAUGCUUGGAUAUCAUACUAUUAAGCAGAAAAAGAACCUACAUUAGAUUUAAUUACUUGGGCUUAAUUGUUAUAUUCAUAAGAUGACAUAAAUUGAUUUCGAGUUGUCACUCUAAAAUUGGGGAUUAAUUAACAAUUAGAUAAUUACUAAUUGAAUAGUGGUGAAUUCUGAAACCUUGAUAAUUUUUGUCUUAUUAAAUUCUCUUUUAUUUUAAUUGCCUUAGUUUAAUUAGUUUAAUUUAUCUUAAAACUUAAUUUGCUCAACUAUUUUAGAAUUAAUAUUAAUUUUAGAUUUAAAUUAGACUUUUCAAUUUAUAACAAUCCCUGUAGGUUUGACCUCAUUACCACUAUUCUAUUUUUAAAUUCGUGUGCUUGCAAGUAUAUUAAAAUUUUUCACAAUAAGUUUUUGGCGUCGUUAUUGGGGAUUGUGCCAGAAAGUCAGUUUAAUCUAGAUUGAUUUGAUUUUUCCAGUAGUUAUAAUUUAAGUUGUCUUUUAUUUUUAUUUUAUUUUUUUAAUAAAAAACACAAAAAAUAUUUAUUUGUCUUUAAAUUUAUUGUUUGGUUGUUUGAUUUGUUUUAUUUUAAAUUCCGUUUAUUUUUAUUAUUGUUGCUUUAUUUUCCUUUCUUUGUCUAGUUAGUUUAUGAGUGUUUGGGAACGCGAUUCAACAAAUCGUUUGGUAAGAAAAGAGUUUAAAAUUGAUAGUAGUCGAGUUAGUUCUUCAAAAGUGAUGGAUGACCCAAAUAGAAUAUUGUCAGUACUUCCACCAGUACAAGCAGAGAAAAUCCUUAGAGAAUCUUUUUCACCACUUGCAGCCAACCAACCAUCUUGUAUUGUGUUGCCACAGACUACAUCAACACACUUUGAACUCAAGCCCUCUGUCAUUUAGCUUUUACCAUCUUUCCAUGGGUUAGAGAGAGAGGACCCAUAUUUGCACAUUAAGUACUUUUUUGACAUGUGCUCUACAUUUUAUUUUCAAAAUUUUAAUGAUCAGUCAAUUAGGUUUCGUAUGUUCCCUUUCUCAUUAAAAGACAAAGCGGAAGCUUGGUUGAAUUCACUUCCUGCUAGGUCUAUUACUACUUGGGAUGAAUUAAGUAAUAAGUUUUUUACCAAGUUUUUCCCUAUGUCUAAAACAAAUGUCAUUAGGAGAGAGAUAAAUGAUUUUUGUCAAAGAGAGGGUGAACAAUUUUAUGAGUGUUGCGAAAGAUUCAAUGAUUUACUCCUCAAGUGUCCCCACCAUGGUUUUGAGAAAUGGAGACUUAUAUAGUGCUUUUAUAAUGGUUUAACUAUAUCAAAUCAUCACAUGAUAGAGUCUAUGAAUGGUGGGAGAUUUUUUAAUUUACAUGAAGGGGCUGCAUGAGAUUUCUUUAUUUUACUUUUUGAGAAUUCUCAACAAUGAGAUUUUUCAAAUCAAAGAAAAAAAUGAUCUCAAGUUUCUAGGAAAGUCUAUAUGAAGUUAAUGAAGAUUUUGAUGUUAAGGUCAUUCUAGCUACACUUUCUAGGAAAAGUAGACGCCUUAACUCUGAACCAAUCAAUGAAUCAUCACCCUAGUGUACCUAAUGAGGUUUGUACUCUUUGUUCUAACUUGUCUCAUACAGCACAUAAUUGUCCAUCAUUGCCAGCCUAUCAAGAGGCUUAUUAUGAGCAAGUACAGGCCUUACAAUCAUAUGAAAAAAACCUUCAAUAGUCCAUAUUCAUCCACAUAUAAUCCUAAUUGGAGGAACCACCCUAAUUUUUCUUGGAAACAAAGUCAGCCUUUAUCAAACCAAGGAGGACAACAAUUCAACGUACCCAAUCAACAAUUUGUCCUUACUAACCAAGUAUAUCCUCCUGCCCAACAGCCUAUGUCUCAAUUUGUUACACCUUAGCAAAGAAAACCUUUUUCAGAUGAUACACUUCAAAGUUUCAUUCAGUCAACCCAACAAGCUUUUCAGUCAAACACUCAAGCUAUUCUAAAGCUUGAACAUCAAUUGGGUCAAUUAGCAACUGCUGUGGCUGAGAGAAAAAAAGGAAAAUUCCCAAGUCAGCCAGUUCUUAAUCCUAAAUGAGUGCAUAAAGUUGGAUCAACUUCAAGCCAUCAGUAUAAAGAAGCAAAAUCUAUUAUGACCUUGAGAAAAUGAAAAAUAUUUGACAACAAGGUGGAGGUUCGAACAAGAAAGACAUCUGAACCUACUUAUGCAGAUCCAGUUCCAUCACAAGACUCAUCACUAAAUGAUCCAGAAGAAAGUAAUCCACCAGCUUACAUUCCUAAGGCUUAUUUUCCUUAAAGGUUAACAAAGGUAAAGAAAGAGACUUCAACAUGUGAGAUUAUGGAAAUCUUCAGGCAUGUAAGUAUAAGCAUCCCUUUACUCGAUGCUAUUAAGCAAGUUCCUCAUAUGCCAAGUUUUUGAAGGAUUUAUGAACUAAAAAAAGAAAUUUGCAUGUCACCAAAAAUGCAUUUUUAACUGAACAAACUAGCAAUUUACUUCAAUAUAAAAUGCCACCAAAAUUUAAGGAUCCAGGUUCCCCUACUAUCUCAUGUGUUAUAGGGAACCAAUUGUUUGAUAAAGUAUUAUUGGAUUUGGAUGCAAGUGUUAAUCUCUUGCCUUACUUUGUUUACAUGCAGCUUGGAUUACAUAAAUUAAAGUCAACUUCCAUUAUUUUGCAACAUGCAGAUAGGUUAAUGAAAAUACCUCAUGGUAUUAUAGAGGAUGUGUUGAUACAGAUUGAUAAAUUUUAUUAUUUUGUUGACUUUAUUGAUAUUGAUACUCAGCAUGUACAGGAUCCUAAGAAACACACCCCAGUUAUUUUAGGUCGUCCUUUCUUAGCUAUAGUUGAUGCUCUUAUUAAUUGCAGGAAUGGAAACAUGCAAUUAUCUUUUGGUAACAUGACCAUGGAAUUAAAUAUUUUUAAUGUUCCUGAUAACUCUAGGAAAUGAGAGUUAUUACAUCAAUUCUAAACUUAAAUCAAGAUCACUUAGAGAACAAAUAAGGUGUUUUUAUUACAUUUUGGUUAUAUUUUGCAUAAACAUUCAUUUUAGUUAAGUUUUAAUAAGUUUUGUUUGAAUCAAAGUAAUUGGUGCUAAAAACAGGUGCAUAAUUGUAGGUUUUUAGAAAGUCUUAAUUCAUGAGAGGAUGGUGAGACAGUGGAUGAGCAAGAUGAGGAAAGAAGAUAGCUGCAGAAGAAGUAAAGCACAAUCGGGAAUAGUACAGUGUUGUAGCGGAUGUUAAAGCAACCAGUGCUAUAGCAAUCUGGGAGCAAUGCUGGAGAAAAUUUAGGCGUGGGUCAGCUGCAGAAUCGCGAUUUGCAUGUUUCCUAAUUUAACUCAUGCACGCUUAUGAACUUUUAUUUUACUCUAGUUUGCAGAAUAAAAGAGAGGCGUGCACCACAUAGAGAGGCGGCAAGAGGAAUUAUCAUAAAAAUCAUUAAAGAGAAAAAGAGAAGAAGAUCAGAAUUGAAGAGUGCUGUUUCGGCAACAUUGAGGAAUCUGGCAGAAUUAUUCGAAUUUGUCUUUCACUGUACUCAACUAAUAUUUAUCUUCUUCCUUUGAUUGUUUUAAUGUAUCCCGUGAACAACAUAUUUUUUUUUUUUUUUCUUAUUCAAAAUAUGAACUAUAUUUUCUUGUAGUUGAGUGACAAACAAUCCAAUGGGUUCUUGACUGUUCUUAUGUGUUUGAUUUUUUUACAAAUUUGUUUUCCAAGUCCAUUGAUUUUCUGCCUCUCUUACCAAUCAUGUUAGGCUUGGAAAUAUCCACUUUGGUAUUAUUAUUUUAUAAAUUUUAAUUAUUUUAAUUAUUUAUUAAUUAUUAGUAUUAUUAUUGUUAUUAGUUUUAUUAUUUUAAUUAUUAUUAUUGAUUAAGACUAGAAAGUGUACAUUUGAUAAAAGUUAAAAUUAUCAUUUUCCACUUACAUUGUUGAUAAGACUAACAAUGGCAUCAAAUUUACAAAUCCCUAACACAUUUUAUGAAUUUUCUAUUUUUAUUGGUUUUAAAGUAUGAUUUUUGUGCUUUGUAGAUAAAUCCCUAAAUUCAUGAUGUUUGGAUCGAAAAAGUGAACGUGAAAUUUAGAUUCUGGAGACUCAAAAUCCUUUAGAAGAAUUGCUACCCUUUUGAUCCAACAUUAAUUAUAAACGGUUGAGAUCAUGCUAUGUGUCUAAGCUAAAGUGCACCUUAUUGUACUAGAUUUAACACUUAUCAAUUUGAUAGAUCAACUAUCUUGACAAAUGAGCCUAUGGAAGAUCCCAUUUUGACCUCAUUUAUAGCCAUUGAUUAUAUUGAAUCCGACUAUUCAUAAUGGUUGCAAUUUUAAACCCUUGGAUUAUAUUAGUAAAGCUCAUUUAAAGGUUGUGGUUGCAAGCUCAUCGAAAAUAUUAUGUAAAUGUCCAACUUUAUCAACUCAAAAUUUGCUUAUAUAAAGGCAAGAGCUCUCACAAAUUUGUGUAGAGAAUUUAGAGAGAAGUUGGUAGAGAAUUGGUAGUGGAUUUUACAGGUGAGUUUUGUAGAGAAAUUUAAUGUAAAUCUAAAGUGAAUUUUACAGAAAAGCGUGAGUUUGGUGUAAAUCUAGAGUGAAUUUUAAGAAAAAGUGUGAGUUUGUUGUAAAUCUAGAGUUAAUUUUAGACCCUCAACAUUUUUUUAAUUUAAACUAUUCCUUAUUAAUUUUCUUUUUUACAAUUAUUUUUAUUUUAUAAUUAGCUAUUAUAUUUUUAAAUUCCUUAUGGGUUGACUCGAGAUUCACAAGUUAUAGUACAUCUAGACACUCUUAUAUUUGGGAGUAAUCAACUAUUUUUGAGUCAUGUUAAUUAUCAUUAUUUAUUAUUAUUGUCUUUAUUGUUAUUUUUUUAUUGUUAUUAUUAUUGUAAUAGAAACAAUUAAUACUUAGGAUAACAAUUAAAAAAAGAUAUUUUAGUAACUUAAAAUAAUUAAUUUUGAUUUUAAGAUAAAGUAAACAUAUUAAUAGUAAUAUAAUUCUGACUCAUAUAAUUUAAGUAAAUAAUUUAUUUUAAUAUAUAUUUUUCAUUUUAAUUUCAACUUAUUCCUAUUAGUAGUUAGACUUUCACCUUUGGAAGGCUCCAGGACUUGCUUAUUAGACCUUUGAUUUUUCCUCAAUUUGUUAUUCAAGUCCAUUGACUUUCUACCUCUAUUACCAGUCAUGUUGGGCUUGGAAAUCUCCACUUCUAGUAAUAAUGAGCAUGAACGUGGGCCAGAUUAUUUAAAUGGAUUCUCUAUUGGAGGUAGAUUAUUAGUUGUAAUAUUAGGAUCAUCAUUCGUCAGCCCCCUUCGCCGCAGAGAAAUUUUCUUAUCUUUAAAUUCCUGGCCCCCCUGUCUGUUGUGAAGGUUGAGUUGUGUUGGCGUUACCUCGGAUGUGAAGAACUGGCCAGAAUACUUCCAUGAGGGGCCAUGUCCACUUCUUCUACAGUGCCUAAAUGACUGCCCAAGAAGUGCCCCACCACUCUUUUGUCAAACAUACAAUCGGCAAAUUGUGAACCUAGUAACCAAAGUGACGCAUGAGAGAAAUCCAAUCAAGUUUGGAUAUGUCCCCCUUUUACCGUUGGCUGGACUAGACAAAUUUGGACCAUUCCUGUUAGGCUGAACUUUUUGAGUACAUUUUGAAAGUAACAACCAUAGUGACAUAAAUAAUGGACAUAAUACCAAUAGCACCAACAGUCCAAUGAUCCUUCUUUUUUAUUUAUUUAUUUUUUUUUUUUUGUUGGCUACAUUAUAGUUAUUCACUUAUUUUAUUUAUACUUAUUACAUAAAUUCAAACUCAUUUUGGGUACUAUAGUCAAUGGGCAUAAUUGUGAAAAGAAAUUUUGGGUGACUACUUGUGAAGGGGUGGAAUUUUCCUCCUAACACCCAUUUUCUUAAGAAACCGAUUAUUAAAAUUUAAAAACUUAAUUUUUACUCUACACAUCCUCUAUAUUUCCAAAAAGCUGACCUUAAUUAAAGAUAUACUUUUUUUUUAUUUUUUUCUACAAAUUUGUUUCUACAUCUGCAGCCACUUCUUACCUCUUCUGUUAGCGUUCUCGCUUUGUCUUCAUCUCAAAAAAGUACUGAAGUUGUUCUCUUAUCAAUCUCCACAAGAGCAUGCAUAUUAAUAAGGAGAAAUGAGACUUAAAUAAAUAAACAUGACAUAAUUAAAAUAUUUAAGAUUAUUAAAAUAAUAAUAUUCUGCUAUAAAAAUAUCUCUUUUCAACUUCCAGCCUGCUAUAAUACUUCUUGAAAUUUUUUUGGGUCGCAAACUCGCUUGUCCCUGUUUUAUAUUUGAUUUGCUCAAGGUUCAUAGAUGAGAAAGAAACUAUGGUAUCAGAAGCACCAAUUUCUAUUAUGUUGACACUUCUUGAGUUCGUAUCAUGUUGUUAGUUAGCUGCACUUGGGACUGCAAAGCUAUUCACGUUUUGGAUAAUUAUUUUAUGUUUCAGUUAAUAAAUUAAGUUUGUCCUAAUCUUUAGGAAGUUGUUAGUUUGUUCAACAUGUAUCAGCUUAUGGCUUGAUUCUCGGUCACUUAGUUUCUCAAUUUUUAUUAUUUAUUGUAAGCUUAAUGCAUAAAAGAAAUAAGAAUUUCCAGUAUUGCAUUCCCGCAUAUCUUUCUUUGUUCUUCCUCAAAACUCUUUAAACCUCUGUUUUUAUCUUUCCAAAUUAACACAUGUGCAUUCGCUUUGUUUGUUAUUAUUUGCGAAAUACUCUUUUAAAUUUGAAAAAGGAGAAUUUUUAAAUGAACGACCCAGAAGAAAAUGAAUUAGGGUUUAAUGUUGGGAUGACUUCUCUUAGGUGAGUGUAAAGAGAAUUAUUUCUUUACUAUAAAUUAUCUUAUUUUGUCUCCAGCAUUAAUUUCCUUUAAGGAUAAUUUAAGAAUAUAAUUUUUAUCAAAACAACAGGUGUAAAGAGUAUUUUUAUGAGUUCAAAUAUCUUGGAAAGGGUGAGAAUAACUAAUUUCCUUAUACUCUCUUUUUAAUUAAAAUUUUUAAUGUUAAUUUGGAUAAAAUUAUCUAAUUAUCUAUCUUCUAUCUUUCACACACGUUUCUUUUGUUUUGAGGGUGGAUCUACGACCACGCUCACAUUGUAGUAAAGGAGACUAUAUAUAAGUGUGUGUGGGUGGGUGUGUGUGUACACGCUUAAUAAUAGGACAUUAGGAGUCUUACCUUUAUGAAUACUUACUCUAAGCAAAAUAGUUAUAUAAAAAUGUAGAAAAUAAAAAUGCAAUUCAAAUACAAGCUAUAUAUUCUUCUUAAAAAAAUAAAUUAAAAGUUUAAAUAUAUUAAAAUCUCAAAUACUUAAAUAGAAUGAUUAAAUAAAUUAAGCAACUAAAAAUUGAUAUCUUUUCAAUUUUUCAAAAAGUAUUUUUAGUUAAAAAUAAAAAAUAAAUUAAGCCUAUUGGACACUCAAUAGCACACAACUUUGAGCUUGCUUCAAUUUAUAGAAAACAGCUUCCCUUUAGCACAGCAAUUUCUUCAUUAAAUUUCUCAAACAACAUGAGCUAUGUCUAAUAGAGCUUCAUUGUUUAAAAGACAAUAGAAUUUUAAAAUUAAUGAUAAGAUACUAAUAACUGAUAAAAUUUGAUAACUUAAUAAUAAAAUUCAACUUUAUUGCCUUAAUUAGGACAAUAACUUGAUCAAAAUUGACUUUAAAAUUAAGGUGAAAUUGGCUUGGCCGUAAAGUGAGCACUGAUAUUUGUCUUUUGUUAGUAGUUGAUCGGUGGAAAUUGGAAUAAAAGAAGAAAAUGGAACUUGAAAUUUUGACUUAAGUAUCCAUUUAAUAUUUGUAUUUUUUAAAAAUACCUUAAAACAACCUUAUAGUUAAAUAUGUUAGCCUAAAGGGUUACACAUAAUGUAAUUUUGAUGAUAACAAAAAUGUGUCUUAAGCGAUUUAAUAAAUAUUGUAUUUAACAUUUUCACAAGUUUUUGAAGGAUAAUAUUUAUGCAAGUGAAUCAAGUGAAAUCAAGUUCAAGACACUAAACGGAUAACGGCGAAAUAAAGAAUAAAGUUUAGAGCUCAACGGAUAAAUUAUUGCGACAAAUUCUUGUAAAGCCGAUAUGAUUUAAUUGAUACAUGAUUUAGAAUUUGAGAAGCUCAAGAGUUUAUUUAAAUAAUUACUUUUCAUAAACUAAAAUGUUUUAUAUUUAUAAGAUAAAAUAUUUUGUGAAUUUGAGUAAUUUGGACUAAAAUAAAAAGUUUUACAAUCUUUGAAUUUAAUAAGUAUUAUUUUAAAUUCUGAAAUUGAACCUAUUUGACAACAUUUGAAAUAUUUUGCAUCAUAUUAUAAUUUAUGAAAGAUUAUGGACCCGAAUGUAAUUCAAACAUUUGAAUUCGGAAAGAGAGUGCGGCUAACCCCCUGAGGGCUGGCGGCUAGCCGUCUGAGGAAAAUCUCAUAUUCUCAACUUUUGGAUAAAAUUGUAAGGAUUUGAGAACUUUGACAUUUAUGAAUAUUUUGUUAAACUUUGAAAAGGAUGUCUUUGAAACAUAUUAUUAUAUAUUGGGCCAUAACAUAGUUUCAAAAAGUUUUGGGAAUGAUAAAUAUUAUUUAAAAAUUCUAAAAUUGGAUCUUUUUGUAAAAUUUUAUGACAUUUGGGCUAUAGUACAAUUACAAAGAGUUUUAGACAAAAAUAUAAUUUUAUGAACAGUGUUAAGUGGCUAACUGCUUGGGCGCGGAAAUUUACCUAUAACGGCUAGUUUUCGAGCUUUAACUAUAAAAACUCAACUCCAACUUCAUUUUAAAUAUUAAUGUAAGGAUAAACAAGAUCACAUAACACAUAUUGAGCUUCCAUUUCGCAAAUCAUCAUUUAUUGAAUCAUUAUUGUGCUAUUAUUUACAUAUCCACUCUUAAAGAGAGUUUUUGUUGUAAUUUUCAUUUCUCAUCAAAUUGUGAGUGUACAAGUGUGAGAAACACUUGGGGUGAAGAGAUUUGGGAGAUAAUAUCUUGAUUGUAAAGGUUAUUGACACAUUGGAAGUCAAUUGUAAGAACUUGAGGCCUUGAGAGGCUUGGAUAGUGAAAUCUUUAGCUUGGUUGGCUUGGAGGUGUGGACGUAGGCGGAGAUUGCCGAACCACGUAAAAAUUAUUGUGUUUGAUUUCUAUUCCCUUACUAUUUUAUUAUUGUGCUUUACUAAAUUUAUUGUUUUUGUAUUUGAUUAAGGCAAUAGAUUAAAUUGUUUAGCAUAAGUUUUAAAAUCCCAAUUCACCCCCCCUCUUGGAUUGCAUAACUUGCAUUUCAAAAUAUAUUACAUUCUUUCUUUUACUUUUUUUACAAAAAUACCUUUCUAAUAAUAUUCUUGACAUUAAUUUAUUUAUUAAUAAGAAAUUAAUUAACAAAUUAACCAAUACUUAUUUACUAAACCAAUAAAUAUUGAUGUAAAAGAAUUAUUAUUAUUUAUUUAUGCAACAAGUUUACUAAUAAUUAUUUAUAAAUAAAAUUAAUAUCAAUCAACUUAAAUCAAUUUUUAUACAAAAAUACCCUUGCAAUAAAAUUCUUGGGAAUACCAAUAAAAAGAAAAAAAUUUUAUCAAAUUGACUUAGAAAUAACAUAAAAAUUUACACAAACUUUUAUAUUAUUAUAAUUUUUUUUUUUUACUUUUAGGAUUAACUUAGGAAAUUAUUUUUCUAUAAAAUAAUUAUUAGUAAGAUUGCUAUAAGGAUGUUUGACCCACUCAAAUCAACCCCCACUCUUUAAUUAACAAAAAAAUAUUACCAAAAUUACCUUUUAAAAAUAAAUAUAGUUUUUUAUUUUAAUUUUUGGUCUCUCUCAAAAUUCAUCAUAUUGAAUUCUUGAUCUUCUAAUAUAAAACGGCAAAGCCAUUAGUAAGAAUUAAAUCUGCAAUAAAAAUAUAAUGAUUUGUAUGGGGUUCAUAUCCGGAAAAACAAAAUAAAUUUAUAUCAUGGGGUUAUCAUUGUUUCUCUAAAUUCAUUUUACAGCUAAAUUUUCUUACUAUUCAUGCAAGCAAACUUUUCAAUUGCAUAUCAGACUGCGAUGGUGGUGAGGAAAAAAAAAUAAACAAUUUUUUUUUUACAUUUUAAGGAUAAUUUUAAAAAUAAAAUGAUUAAUUGAAUACCGGAAAAUAAUGAGAUCAAUUAAAGGAUCAAAUAUCAUUUCAAAGCUAUGGUAAUGUGCGCUGACAAAACCUCUCAACUGCCACCGGCGGCUGACCGAUCUACCAAGAAAGCAAAGUUUAAGGCUCAAGGGGCAGAUGGGGAUAACCCAUCUCCUUUGUCUUUCCGCGACAUGCUAAUGGACAUGCACGAACAAUCUGAUAGUGGGAAGUUUGGCCGGAAGGAUGACUGGGAGUUGGAGGAGGAUGAUGUGACGUACAGGGAGGAGGAACCUAUGCCAUUCAUAGCAUUCUCAAGCAGAGUUCAUGAACGGUUAGUGGAACCCUGGGAAAACUCAGUGGUGGUCAAAAUAUUAGGGCGCAACUUGGGGUAUCGUGUUCUCAGUUCUCGGUUGAACAGGAUCUGGAGUUCUACCACAAGGUUUGAAAUAAUUGAUUUAGCUAAUGAUUAUUUCCUGAUCCGUUUCUACAACAAAAAGGAUGUGGAGUAUGCCCUUACUGAGGGACCAUGGACGGUGAUGGGGCAUUAUUUAUCAGUGCAGAAAUGGUCUCCAGACUUCGAUGUAGUUAAUAAUAAAAUCAACCGCAUCAUGGCUUGGAUCCGUCUGUCUCAAAUGAAUAUUCAAUUUUAUCAUAAGAGUAUUAUCCGGCGACUAGGGCACAUUAUUGGUCCAGUCAUCAAAAUUGACAAUAACACAAUUACGGCACAGAGAGGCAAAUUUGCUCGUCUUGCGGUUGAAUUAGAUCUUCAGAAGCCUCUAGUUUCUCAGUUUAAUCUUGAAGGAAGGAUUCAAAAAGUGGAAUAUGAAAAUUUGCCGACGAUUUGUUUCGGUUGUGGUAAAUUUGGCCACUUCAAGGAUGCAUGUCCUGAUAGUGCUGACAUUAACAUCAUGGCCAAGGACAAUCCAGCCCCUCCUACGGAGGCUGAGGGGCAAGCCGUUGUGGUGGCUGCAGCAACUGACUACCGAGAGCCUAAAUUUGGAUCGUGGAUAGUGGUGGCCCGCCAGCCGCGCCCUCGUAAAGUCUUCGCCAAGGAUAAUCCUAAAGUUCAAGAUAAGGAUCGGUACAUGCCAAAAACUAGCCAGUCUCUGUUUGGUGUUUUGGAAGACCUUGAUAUUGAGGAUGAGAUCUCUCAAGAUCAUGAUACAGACCCCGGUUCUCAACGGGAACCUAUGAUGCAUGUAUCGGAGAGCAUCCAAUUCCUAGCCCCAAAACCUCGGAGCAUGAAAACGAAAAACCCUAGUCAACUCACUCGGAAAUACCCCCCUCGUCAAGUUUCCAUCACCAUUCCUCCAAGUCAACACGUAACUGAAAAUUUUGACCCCAAUACUCAAAUUCCCACUGAUUAUUCCCACCAAAAUAACCAACCCCCAGCCAUGCAUGGCAUGCAUGCUCCACCCAAAUUUUCCACGUCCACUCAUUCUGCUCCAUCUAAUGCCGCCUCCACUUCCAUGCAUGGUAUGCAUGCUUAUCAUAAUCAUGGCCAACACAAUCCAGGUCCAUUUCCAGUAUCCAUCACCCUUAACCCGCUACACCAUAGUGCCGUAUCUUUCUCCAAGACUUUUUCCCCAAAGGCAACUAAUCAUCCCCCCUCUCAACCUGUUGGUGACCCCUCUCUUGUUGGUGAACCACCGGACAAGGGCAAUCUGAAUGACCCUUACAUUAUGGAAGCCAUUGUUGAGCCUGAAGACUCCCCAGUUGCAAGCAGGAGUGGCUCUCCUUUGUCUACUACUGAUAUCUUAUUUGUUGCUGAUUCUGGCAUGGAAAUUGAGGCUGCGGCUUUGGAGUCCUCCCAGUAACUCCACUUGUUUCCCUUUCCAAUAAAUUUUAUGUUUAUUAGAACCAUGUUUUGGAAUUCUCAAGGUGCAGCGUCACCGUCUUUUUGUCGUUCCUUUUCGGUUUUAGUUCAGAAUUACAAGCCUUCCCUGGUUGUGUUGAUGGAGCCCCGUAUUAGUGGUUAUAAGGCUGAUCAUUUUAUUAAAAUAAGUGGCUUUGACAAAUCAUUCCGGGUGGAAGCAGAGGGUUUUUCUGGUGGCAUUUGGGUCCUAUGGAAAGAUAUUUUUUAGGUUGAGAUUGUUGCCAGCCAUUCUCAGUUUGUUCAUCUUCGAAUUUCCAACAACAAUAAUGUUCUCUCUUGGUUGACAGCUAUUUAUGCAAGCCCUAACCCCAGUCUUAGAAAAUAUCUUUGGAGUGAGCUAGAUAAUUUAGCUCAAACAGUUUAUGGUCCCUGGAUUUUGGGUGGGGACUUUAACACUAUUUUGUACGAUUCGGAAAAGAAAGGUGGGUCCCCUACAGGCACAGGAGCUUGCACUCUCUUCCAGUCUUGGUUCAACCUUCACAACAUGCAUGAUCUUCAAUCUCAUGGGCCACGUUUUACUUGGUCACGUGGAAGCCUAUUAAAACACCUUGAUCGCGUUAUUUGCAACAGUGAGUGGGCUCGUACCUUUUCCAAUUCUUUUGUGCUCCAUCUGCCGAAACUGAACUCUGAUCAUAGGCCUAUCCUGGUGCGAAGUACUGAUUUGUCUUCGAGAGUUUCGAUCUCUCGUCCUUUUCGGUUUCAAGCGGCUUGGCUUACUAAUGAAGGUUUCAAAGAAUUUGUGUCUGAAUCUUGGGAUCAGAACCUUCAUUACUUAGAUGGUGCUAAUAAAUUUCGUCAUAAGGUUACUGAAUGGAACAAGCAGUGUUUUGGGAAUAUUUUUUGGCGGAAAAAAUGUUUAUUAGCUCGUUUGGGAGGGAUUUAGCGGGCUUUAGAAAGAUAUUACUCUAAAGGGUUAUUAAAUCUUGAGAAACAACUAAACGCGGAUCUGGAAGAGGUGCUCACCCAAGAGGAAAUUAUUUGGCAUCAGAAAUCUCGGAGGGACUGGCUGCUUCUCGGUGAUCGUAAUACAUGUUACUAUCAUCACAAAACUCUUUCUAGAAGAAAACAAAAUAAUAUAGCGGCCAUCCAAAACAAUGCAGGGCUUUGGCUUUAUGAGGAAGAGGAAAUUAAAUCUCAUGUAAUUCAGUUCUACUCAACGUUAUUCUCUUGUGAUUCUCCUGACCUUCAGCACUACCCCCAUCCAAAUUGUUUUCCGCUUAUUAAGGAUGACUUGCUCCAUACCUUAAAUAAGUGCGUGGAGGAUGCUGAAAUUAAACAAACUAUCUUCAGCAUGCACCCUCUGAAAGCCCCGGGUCCUGAUGGUCUCCAUGCCAUUUUUUAUCAGACGCAGUGGAACACUGUGGGCUCUCCUUUAUGUCGUUUGGUGAAAGCUGUUUUCCAUGAAAAAUAUAUUCCUUUGGGGCUCAAUUCCACGCUGAUUGCUCUCAUUCCCAAGACAGAAAGCCCCUCCUCGUUGAAAAUGUACCGUCCUAUCUCCCUUUGCAAUGUUGGCUAUAAGACUAUCACCAAGCUGUUGGCUAAUCGCCUUCAAUCUAUUUUACCCUCUCUGAUUGGCCCCCAUCAAACUAGCUUCGUCCCUGGUCGUCAUAUCACGGAGAACAUCGUGAUUGCUCAAGAGGUUGUUCACUCUAUGCGCAAGAAGACGGGCUCUACUGGUUUUAUGGCUAUUAAAGUUGAUUUAGAAAAGGCUUAUGAUCGUCUCAGUUGGGAGUUUAUCAGUGAUACUCUGCGUGAAGCUCGCAUUCCUUCCGAUCUUAUUCAUGUUAUUAUGGCAUGCAUCACUUCGGUUACUAUGAGGGUUUUGUGGAAUGGGGAGGCUACGGAUGAAUUUUCUCCUUCCCAAGGAAUUCGUCAAGGCUGUCCAUUGUCCCCUUACCUAUUUGUCCUUUGCAUCGAACGGCUCAGUCACGGGAUUCGCAAUGCUAUUAGUGCCGGGAAGUGGCGUCCGAUCGGGUUAUCUCGCCAUGGAACACGUUUAUCUCAUCUUUUUUUUGCGGAUGAUCUUCUUUUGUUUGCAGAGGCUACAGUUGAGCAAGCUAGAGUUAUUUCAACAGUGUUAGCAGAAUUUUGUGCUUGUUCUAAUGCCAAAGUUAAUACAAGUAAAACUCUGCUUUAUUUUUCAAAGAACAUAGGUGCCAGAGAUGUCUCUGCAAUUUCGGGUCUUCUUGGCUUCUCAGUUACUUCUGACCUCGGCAAAUACCUUGGGGUCCCUCUUCACCAUUCAAGGGUUUCUACCAAUAUGUAUAAAGGGAUCAUCGAUAAGGUGGAGAAGCGGCUGUCGGCUUGGAAUGCCUCUCAUUUGUCCUUGGCUGGCCGCAUCACUCUAGCUCAGUCAGUUCUCCAGGCAAUUCCCAUCUAUGUUAUGCAGACUGUUUCCCUUCCUCGUGGGGUUUGUGAGAAAAUCGAUAGAGCGUGCAGGAGGUUUAUUUGGAGCGGUUCGUCUCCUCAACAGAAGCUCAACAUGGUUAGUUGGAAGAUUGUGUGCAAGCCUAAAGCUUCUGGCGGUCUUGGUUUCAAGUCUUUGGCAAUGAUGAAUCGGGCUUUACACAUGAAGCUAGCUUGGGGCAUAAUCUCCUCUUCGAAUAAUUUUUGGGUCCAGGUCCUUACUUCGAAGUACAAAGUGGAUCCUUACAACUUGCCUCCCGUCCUUCCAACACGCUAUGGUUCUCACUUGUGGAAGUCUCUUGGGCAGGUUUGGAGUGAGGCUCUUGCAAGCAGGCGCUGGAGUUUGGGUGAUGGUCAAUCUGCUCGUUUUUGGUGGGAUCUUUGGGUCACUGAUACGGUCCCUUUAAUCGCAUGCGCAACAAAUACUAUACAUGUGGGCAUUUUGGAUUGUAAGGUGGAAGAUCUUGUUGAUGUAAAUGGGGCUUGGUGUUGGCCUCGUUUUGAUCGAUAUCUUCCCAACCAUAUUGUUCUACAAAUAGCUGCUCUUCACCCCCCUUCCCACGUGAAAGGCAUGGACACUAUCUUUUGGGCUCAUUCAAAACACGGAGCUUUUUCUACAAGCUCGGCGUAUUUGGCUCUCUCUGAGUACGAUCCAAAGUCUGAAGAUAGAGAUUGGCAGUUAGUAUGGAAGUGGAAAGGCCCUCAAAGCGUGAGAAUCUUCUUGUGGCAAGCGUUUCACGUUGGUUUGAAAACUAAGGCUGAGUUGGCUCGGCGGCACUUACCCAUCUCGCCUUGUUGUGAUCGUUGUAGGGCUGUGUGUGAAGAUAUUACGCGUGCUCUACGUGAUUGUUGGUUGGUUAAGCAGUUUUGGCUCAACAUUAUUCCGACAAGCAAACGUCACAGUUUCUUUAAUUCUCGGCUUCAUCUUUGGCUAUGCUCGAAUCUGGUUGUUAAUCGUAAGGUAGGGAAUGUUUCAAACUGGGCUGUUUUUUUUGGAGUGGCGAUAUGGCGGAUCUGGUAUUGGUGUAAUCAGUUUCUCUUUAACAAAUUGAUGUUAGACCCUUUGGCUUUGUUGGUGGAUGUCCAUACAAGAGCUGAGAAGAUUCACAAGCUUCAUAACCACCUGUUGCUCACUAGGAAUAUUAGGACUCACAUGUGGAUUUCUUGGCAUCCUCCUGAGUGGCCCUGGUGUACUCUGAAUACGGAUGGUGCUCACAAGUCUCACGGAAAUUCUACUGCAGGUGGUUUAAUUCGAGAUCACUUAGGACGUUGGCUAAUAGGCUUUGGGAUGAUGAUUGGUUCUUGCUCUAUUACUGUCGCGGAGCUCUGGGGCUUAUAUCAAGGGUUUCAGCUUGCAUGGAAUUCUGGUAUCCGUAGAUUGAAAGUUGAAACGGAUAGCCUUUGCGUUACUCAAUUGGUGGCUAGACCUUCGGUGGUGACCAAUGAAUAUGCUCCCUUGGUCCAGGCUAUAAAAGAUUAUCUCAAAUUGGAUUGGCAUGUUUCCAUUUCUCACAUCUACAGAGAAGCAAAUUUUGCUGCAGAUUAUAUGGCGAACCUCGCUUUUUCUAUUCCGCUAGGCUUUACUGUGUACCCUUCCCCCCCUUUGGGCGUUAGGGCUCUGUUAUUGCAUGACUCUUACGGGGUUUCUCACCCCCGUUCUGUUGUUCUCUAGCUCUUCUUAGAGCCCCAAUUAAUCAAAAAAAAAAAAAAUCAUUUCAACAAAAGUAUUAUUAUUAUUAUUAUUAUUAUUAUCAUCAUUAUUUAUUUUUUAAACUGGUUCAAAUGUGCUCUAUUUCAUUAUAUUCUUAGAACUUGAGUUAAACUUGAAAUUGUCACUCUCUUUGCACAAUUUAAGAGAGUAGGUUCGCAUCUCAAGGAAUUCUAUAUUUCAUAUUUGUCACGAGUAACAAACAAAAAAAAAAAAGAAGAAAAUCUAGAAAUUGUAAAUGGAAAAUAUGAGAAAUUUGAAAUUACCUGCAAAAUGAUUUUAUCCAGUCAAGAUGAGACGGUGAUCAUUCAAGAUAACGAAUAGAUUCCUUUCAAGAUUACAACUGGACAUGAGCUGACAGCAUUUUUUUUUUCUCUCUUUUUGAGCUUUUGAGAAGAACAGGAGAGCACGUUUUUUUUUUUUUUCAUUUUUUUCUUUUUUUUUGAUGCUAGGAGAGCACGUUAAUUAAACAAACAAACACCAAUCGACAAAAUUAUAAACGACAAGAACAAUUAUUUCAUUCAAGUUUAUGUGGUGAUAAUUCAAUAUAACAUUGGGGCACGAUGAGGAUGGUCAACAGACAAAUUACCAUCACAAUAAACGUGUCAAAUAAUUGCAGGUGCGCCCCGAAGAGAGGAAGAAUCUCCAAAUUAUCGGAUAAUGAUAGCAGAAUGGUAUUGCUUCAGAAGUAAUCUUGUAUUAAUUCUGAAUUUGUCCUGAGUACUGAAUUAAUAAUCAAUAAUUAUUUUACGUGGCCCUCAAAUAAUUGCUGUCUAUUUAUCUAAUGUUCAGGAUAAGCUCAGAUCAGCACCGGAUCCGUUUUCCAAUUUUUCUUCCCCAAAUUCUGUUUCUGUACACUGUAAGUAUUUUUCAUCCUCAUUUUCUUGUAUCCAUUUUGCGUGGCCCUCAAAUAAUUGCUGUCUAUUUAUCUAAUGUUCAGGAUAAGCUCAGAUCAGCACCGGAUCCGUUUUCCAAUUUUUCUUCCCCAAAUUCUGUUUCUGUACACUGUAAGUAUUUUUCAUCCUCAUUUUCUUGUAUCCAUUUUGCGUUAUGUCACCAUUUAUUUUCAUCUCGACAUUUGGUUUCAAUUAGAUCACCGGAGGAAAUACGAUGGGAAGAACACAGAUCAUCUCAAAGAGCACCGUCUGUGCAGCAAUUCACAAGGAACCAAACCUUAGAAUCGAUUUAACUCUAUGGGAUCUUAAGCUCAUUCAAUUUGAUACCAUUCAGAAAGGACUUCUCUUCCGCAAACCUUCAGAGGAUAACACCGAUACCAGCAGCUUGAACUUGAUCCACCACCUCAAGACCUCCCUUUCACGUACGCUAGACUACUUUCCCCCACUUGCCGGUCGCCUAGCCACCAUCGAGCAUCGUGAUGACAGCAACACAAUUUCUGUUUACAUAAAUUGCAACAAUGCCGGCGCAGAGUUUGUGCACGCCAUGGCCGAUGGAGUCUCUGUUGCAGAUAUCAUUACACCUGUUUAUGUUCCUAAUGAAACUGUUUACUCUUUUUUCCCACUAAAUGGAGUAACAAACUGUCAGUGUAUCUCCGAGGCCAAGCCGUUGCUUGGGGUUCAAGUGACAGAGCUUGUGGAUGGAAUCUUCAUCGCUUGCACUAUCAAUCACUCCGUUGUUGACGGCACUUCCUUUUGGCAUUUCUUCAAUUCCUGGUCUGAAAUCUCACGGGGUUCUGAUUGUAUUUCAAAAGUUCCAGUUCUCGAACGUGGGUUUCUCUCUGAAUCAGAAUAUUUUCCCAUUCGCCUCCCUCUCUGGAGCAUUGAACCUUCCGGAACUCGCACUCCACCGCCUAAUUUGCAACAAAGGUUUUCCACUUUACGAAGGAAAACGUUGCAAAACUCAAAGCAAAAGCCAAUGCUGAGAUUGGUAGUACCAACAAAAUCUCCUCUCUCCAAGCAAUCCUUUCCCAUAUUUGGCGAUCUGUUACUCGUAAUCGAUCUCUUGAUCCUGAUGAAGAAGUUCAUUUCAUGUUAGGAAUGGGAGUUAGACAAAGAUUGCAACCACCACUGCCACCAGAAUAUUUUGGAAAUGCAGCUCAGGUACUGGGAGAGUUCGCAUCCAUGAAAGCUUAACAUAUAGACUUUGUAAAUUAUUUUGAAUGCUUAACAUAUUUCUUUUAAUGUGAUCAAUAAAAGUUUUAAAAGCAGUCUAACAGAUUAAUGAUAAAUAAAUUUGUUUCAUAUUAAAAAUAAUUCUCGAUGACUUGAUAAUCCUGUGAAGAAGUUCCUUUCGAACUAUCGAUAGGAGUUAGAAUAAGAUUGCAACCAUCACUGCCGCCUGAUGAAUAUUUCGGAAAUGCAAUUCUAUAAAGCGGGAGAUCAAAUUGAAUAUGCGGCACUGCGAAUGAGCAAUGUUAGUGAAACUGAUAAAAUGUGAAGAACAGAGGAAACGAGUACAUGCUGUCACUAUGUAUUUGACAGCAGCUGAAUAGCUCACUCAGCUGACGUCGCUUAGUUAGUUAUUUUGAUUUAAGCAUUCUUCACAUGUGUGUAACAAAUUGCCAACAAUUAGUAACAAAUUGCCAACAAUUAGUAACAAGUUGCUUCACUUGCUAUAUAUAUGUAUAAUCUGUACUCAUUCGAUUAAUGAGAAGUUUUUACAAGUUUCCAUUAUGAGUUUUUCAUUCAUUUUCCUUUUAACUUUCUCGCUUCCCAAACACAAAUACUUGAGUUUCUAUCAUGGUAUCAGAGCCAUCAAUGGUGUUGUAAAAAAUUUUAAUAUACUCGUAAGCGCACAAAUGUAGAAUAAAAUAAUGGUAAUAAUGUCAAACCCACAGGGAUUAUUAUAAAUUAAAAAGUCUAAUUUAAAUAAAUUAAUAUUAAUUCUAACCUAGUUGAACAAAUUGAGUUUCUAAUAAAAUUACACCAAUUAAACUAAGAAAACAAUUAAAACAAAGGAGAAUUUAAUAAGACAAAAAUUACUAAUGUUUCAGAAUCCACCACUAAUCAACUAGUAAUUACCUAAUUAUUAAUUAAUCCCCAAUUUUAGAGUGACAACUCGAAAUCAAUUUAUAUCAUCUCAUGGAUAUAACAAUUAAGCCCAAAUAAAAUUAAUCUUGUGUUGGUUCUUUUUCUUCUUAAUAAUAUGAUAUCUAAGCAUCCCAUGUAAACAUAUUGAAUAACAAAGAGUCAAAGUUUUCCGAAGCACUCUGUGUAAACAAUUUAAUGAAAGACACAGAAUCAAAGAUAAUCAUGUAUAAAUUUUAAAGACUCAAGCAUAAAUUUAAUCGGAUAUUAAGUGUAACAAUCAAUAAUACAUGACAGAAUUGAUGAAAAGAUUUUAAUAACAUUCAACUAAUCAUGUGAAACACGAACCAUAAAUAUUAAAGAACAUAUGUAGAGAAUUAAUUAAAUAAAAAGAUAAUUAUUUCAUUAAAUAGAGUUUCAUCUUUAACCUCAGUAUAAAAAAAUUAGUUAGACACACUUAAAUAGAGAAUAACAAAUAAAAUAAAAUCAGCCAUGGAGAAGCCGAACUGUUGUUGCUGCUGCCACUCCUCUUCAAAGCCAAAUACUCCCUCUUUUUCUCUCGUUUGGCGGCUGCCCUCUCAAAAACCAAAGUUGGCUUUUUAUAAUGCUUAGCCACCCACUGACUUAACAAAGCCCACUCACCAAGCCCUUUUUAAAUUGUUUCCUUAUUAAGGGUUGAAAACUAGCCACACGUUUAACUUAAAAGUAAAAGGCCAAUUAAUAGUUUCUUCUUUUAAUGCCCUGCACAUGCAUUCCAAAUUGCCAAAUCUUUGCUUUCCAAAUGCAUGCCCACCAGUCAUUAUUUGAUGAGAUUGACUUCCAAUUUUGGUCUUCUUGACUUCCAUUAAUUCUUGACUGUAUUUUUGUCUUCUAAUUUAAUCUUUAUUCCUUCCCAAUUUGAACUUCUUCAUGCCUUUUUUAUCCUUAAUCUUCAAUUAAUUUCCUAUUGAAUAAAAUAAUUCAAUUAAUUAAAAGUAAAAAAUAAAAAUAACUAGUAAAUAUGUAAUUACGGGUAAAAUAUGUAUAUAAAUUAUGAUCAUCAAAUGGCAAGCAUGAUUCAAUCCAAUACAUCCUCCUCUCCUUCAAAUAAUUCCCUACCUCAUAUCCUUCCUGCACCUCCUCCCAUUGGUCAUCCUAUGACGACCAGAUCCAAGAAUGGCAUAUUCAAGCCAAAGUCUUAUCUAUGUGCUCUUUUAGCCUAAUCAUUUGAACUUUCCUCUGUCUCUCAAGCUUUAUCUGAUCCAUUAUAAUUCAAAGCCAUGCAAGAAGAAUUUCAAGCCUUACAAGCCAAUCACACAUGAGACUUGGUACUACCUACUGCUCAUGUUAAAGUGGUUGGUAACAAAUGUGUUUUUAGAAUAAAAUACAACCUGAUGGGUCAAUACUAAAGUACAAAGCACGACUGGUUGCUAAAGACUUCCAUCAGAUACAUGGUAUUGACUACACUGAAACCUUUAGUCUAGUAGUAAAAGCCUCUACUGUCAGUAUUACUGUUAUGAAUAAUUGGGUUCUUCGGCAAAUAAAUGUCAAUAAUGCUUUUCUAAAUGGUAUUCUUGAUGGGGAAGUGUAUAUGACACAUCUCGAAGGAUUUAUUGAUCCUCAUAAACCUUAGCGCAUAUGCAAAUUGAGGAAAGCUAUCUAUGGUUCGAAACAAGCUCCAAGAGCUUGGUUUGCCAGACUUAAAACAACAAUGCUUUCUUAGUGGCAUUUUUAGAGCUCUAAGUCAGACAAUUCACUCUUCUAUAAGAGAGAAAAUUGUCAUUUACUUUUGGUUUUGGUAUAUGUGGAUAAUAUUAUUGUUAUUGGUUCUAGCUCAGCGAAAGUUCAACAAGUAAUUCAAGAUAUGUAGAAGACUUUUGCCUUGAAGGAUCUAGGAGAACUCAACUAUUUUUUAGGCAUUGAAGUCUCAAAACUUCAAAAUGUCAUUCAUUUAUCCCAGGCUACGUACAUUGCUGAUAUUUUGGCAAAAGAUGACUUAGUUAAUUGUAGUCUAGUGCCAACACCUAUGUCUACAGGUCAGCAACUCACCAAAGACUCAGGUUCUGAAAUUUCAAAUAUUUCUCAGUAUAGAAGCAUUAUUAAGGCCCUAUAAUAUGUUACUCUCACUAGACCAGAGAUAGCCUUUACUGUCAAUAAGCUUAGCCAGUUUCUAUCUAAUCCUAGAACUACACAUUGGGAGGCUUGCAAAAGGUUGUUAAGAUAUCUAAAAGGCACAAUUCAUUUUAGUCUUCAAUUUUACAAUUGUGGAGCUAUGCAGAUCAACUCUUUUACAUAUUCAGACUGGGCUUGUGAUCGGGAUGAUAGAAAAUCAGUAGUUGGUUUUGCUGUUUAUCUAGGUGCCAAUCUGGUUUCAUGGUCAUCCACGAAACAAUUAGUUGUCUCAAGGUCCAGUACAAAAGCUGAGUACAGAGCUUUGGCUCAUGCUGCAUCAGAGGUCAUUUGGAUAUAGUUUUUACUUGUUGAGCUAAGAAUUCAGCUAAGUACUACACCAAUUAUGUGGUGUGAUAACCAGGGAGCAAUUGCCUUAGCUUAUAAUUCAGUUUAUCAUGCUAAAACAAAGCAUGUUGAGCUGGACAUUCAUUUCAUCAAAGAUAGAGUGGGAUCAAAAGAAAUAGUUAUUUGUUUUGUGCAUAGUGAAGAUCAAACAACAGAUGUCUUAACUAAGGCUCUUACUUUCACUUAGUUCCAUUACUUGCGCAGUAAAUAAAAUGUUUAUCCCAGAAACGCCAGUUCCAGAGGGGAUAUAAGUAAAGAUGAUAAUUUGUGAAGAAUAAAAGAAGGGAGUAAUGUGAAAAGCAGAAACUCCAGCUUAAGAGAGGAUGUUAGUGAAACUGAUCCCUUGGAGUCCUGGAGACAAAACCUUGUGGUCUUAACAUGGGAAAGCUAGAAGACGAAAUCUUAUUGGUUUCCAAAUAGUUCGUCGAGGUUCAAUAGCAAUGAGAAGUGGUAUAAGGAAUAAUGCUUAUGGAAAUAUCACUUUGUUUACAGGAGUGGAAGAAGGUAAUGUCGACAUUGAAGCUUGCUUUUUGCCGGAGACACAACAGGGUAUAGGACAUGAGACAUAGUUCAUGCCAUCUACGUGUUAACGUCUUUGGUGAUCCUAAAAUAUUACUUUCUAAUCAUUCAUUUACACGUUAUCACGUGUAAAUGAAUGGUAUCAUAAUUAGUUAAAAGCACACAAAUGAUAAAAAGUGAAUUCAUUACUAUAACUAUGCUUUAUUUAGGCACCUCAUGCAAUAAAUUAUUUCAUCUCAAAACUCAAUUUAAUAAUUAAUCCCAUGAACAUCCAUUCGUUAGAGCAUGACAACAAAAUUUAUGUAUGGCAUAUGUGGCAGAGCAUAAUAGUUGUAGAGAAAUGGAAAUUGAAAGGAAGGAGUUGGUAGCUUAUAACUGUGAUUCAAGUUUUUGCUUUAGAAUCUUUCAAAAAAAAAAAAGUUUUUGCUUUAGAAAUUUUUUGACUCGACCUAGUAAACUGGUCAAUACCUCACGUGCUCAUUAAACUAUCAAAUUUGGGGCCCAAUUUGAUGGGCCUAGUUGGUUGCAGUGUUGGGUCUGGUUAGUCUCAACAAAUACUGGUCGUAGCCUCGUAGGCAGUUCGCAUUAGAGAUUUAUAAUGAUUGUAAUGUGUGAAUGAGUAAUAGAAAGCUCUAUUUAUUGGCACAAGGAGUAACCUUUGUGCGGUUGUGCAGAUAAAAAGAGAAAACAUGUAGUGGGUUAUAUGAAAUUAAAAGUAAUAUGUUGUUAUAAACACAAUUAGAAAACUCCUGAUUUAAGCCAUAAAAGCCUUCAACUCAACACUAAAGUAUUCAGGGAACUACACUUAUGGUUUGAAUAGAAAUGCACAACCAUGGUUCUAAUACCAAUGGCUAAAAUAAUUUUAAGCUUUACGGCAAUGAAUCCAUUCAACAUAUUUCAUAAGGGAGAAAAACUGCAUUUUAUCUUGGUUGGCCAUGAAAAAGACUUGCUGGUCAGCUUGUUUCUUGCCCGUUAAUUCAACCUUUUGUUCUUGACUUCAAUCUCAACAGCAAAAUCAAGCUCCUCAUUCACUGCACACACACACAAUUAGGAGAAAGGAGAAAAAGAAAGACAGUGUAUAAUGGAACUGCAUUUUAAAGAAAUGUGUAGAAAACAAUCAAAACCUCUACAGAAUUCUUAGUAUUUUUGUCAACACAAUACUUCUUCUUUUAAAGACAUUUAUGCCAUAGUACAAAACCUUAGCCUACAAGAUUUGUACACACAAAAUGAAAAAAGAGCCAAGUAAUUCAUGAAUAAAAAACAUAGAGCAAAGAAGGGAUAAGUAACAUAAACACGCACACGAAAUUGGCACAGAUGAACAAAGAACGAGUUGCAAGCUCUUUAUUACCGAAAGAAACGAGCCCCAUAUCAUAUGAUCUCCCUACAAGCUUUACAAUGAGCUAUCAUAUGCUUUCUAACUCUCAAAGAUUAACAAGUUACAGGCCUUAGAAACUGCCCUCGUAAAUUCAUUUUACAGCUAAAUUUUCUUGCUAUUCAUGUGAUGAGCAUAUACUAUAUACAUAUUUUACCCUUAAUUAUAUAAUUGCUAAUUAUUUUUAUUUGAUAUUUUUAAUUAAUUAAUUAUUUUGUUGAAUAAAAAAUUACGUGGAGAUUAUGAAUAAAAAAAAGGGCAUAAAGGAGCUCAAUUUCGGAAGCAUUAAUUAAUUGAUUUUCGGAGCAAUUAGGCAUAUUUGCAUGUGAAGUCAAGCCAAGGAAACCAAAUUCAACAAAUUAAUUCAUCCAUGCACAUGAAGACAAAGAAGAUUAUGGCCAUCACGUGAGAAGCAAUCACCAUUAUUGUUAGCAUGUGCAUGGCAUUAAAAAAAGGGAUUCUAAUGCAAUUCUAAGUGGUGAACACGUGUGAGAGCAAAACAAAUUAAAAGGCCAAGCCUUUCGGCUUUAGAGUUGGAAUGGUUGGUGGCUCAUUUUGGAGAUUAUAAAAAGAAAUAUGAACUUUGGCUUUUAAGAGGCCAACCGCAAGAAGAGAAAAAAGAGUGCAACGUUAGGCAUUCGGCAGAGGAGAAAAUAGCGGCAGAAGCUCUUUAAUUCUUUUAUGGUUGGUUUUAUUUUAUUUGUUGCUCGCAAUUCAAGUAUGUCUAGCUAAUUUUAUUUUACUGAGGUUAAAGAUGAAACCUUAUUCAAUGAAAUAAUUAUCUUUUUAUUUAAUGAAUUCCCUACAUGCGUGUUUUAAUGUUUAUGUUUUUUUAUUUUACAUGAUUAGUUGGAUGUUAUUAAAUCUUUUCAUCAAUUCUGUCAAGCAUUAUUGAUUGUUAGGAUUAAUAUUCAAUUAAAUUUAUGCUUUGGUCUAUAAAGUUUUUAUAUUAUUAUCUUUGAUUCUAUAUCUUUCAUUAAAUUGUUUACAUAGAGUGCUUAGGAAAAUUUUGACCCUUUGUUAUUCAAUAUGUUUACAUAAGAUGCUUAGAUAUCAUACUAUUAAGCAGAAAAGAACCUACAUUAGAUUUAAUUACUUGGGCUUAAUUGUUAUAUUCAUAAGAUGACAUAGAUUGAUUUCGAGUUGUCACUCUAAAAUUGGGGAUUAAUUAACAAUUAGAUAAUUAUUAAUUGAAUAGUGGUGGAUUCUGAAACCUUGAUAAUUUUUGUCUUAUUAAAUUCUCUUUUAUUUUAAUUGUCUUAGUUUAAUUAGUUUAAUUUAUGUUAAAACUUAAUUUGCUCAACUAUUUUAGAAUUAAUAUUAAUUUUAGAUUUAAAUUAGACUUUUCAAUUUAUAACAAUCCCUGUAGGUUUGACCUUAUUACCACUAUUCUAUUUUUAAAUUCGUGUGCUUGCAAGUAUAUUAAAAUUUUUCACAAUAAGUUUUUGGCGUCGUUACCGGGGAUUGUGCCAGAAAGUCAGUUUAAUCUAGAUUGAUUUGUUUUUUCCACUAGUUAUAAUUUAAGUUGUCUUUUAUUUUUAUUUUAUUUUUUUAAUAGAAAACACAAAAAAAUAUUUAUUUGUCUUUAAAUUUAUUGUUUGGUUGUUUGAUUUGUUUUAUUUUAAAUUCCGUUUAUUUUUAUUAUUGUUGCUUUAUUUUCCUUUCUUUGUCUAGUUAGUUUAUGAGUGUUUGGGAACGCGAUUCAACAAAUCGUUUGGUAAGAAAAGAGUCUAAAAUUGAUAGUAGUCGAGUUAGUUCUUCAAAAGUGAUGAAUGACCCAAAUAGAAUAUUGUCAGUACUUCCACCAGUGCAAGCAGAGAAAAUCCUUAGAGAAUGUUUUUCACCACUUGCAGCCAACCAACCAUCUUGUAUUGUGUUGCCACAGACUACAGCAACACACUUUAAACUCAAGCCCUCUGUCAUUUAGCUUUUACCAUCUUUCCAUGGGUUAGAGAGAGAGGACCCAUAUUUGCACAUUAAGUACUUUUUUGACAUGUGCUCUACAUUCUAUUUUCAAAAUUUUAAUGAUCAGUCAAUUAGGUUUCGUAUGUUCCCUUUCUCAUUAAAAGACAAAGCGGAAGCUUGGUUGAAUUCACUUCCUGCUGGGUCUAUUACUACAUGGGAUGAAUUAAGUAAUAAGUUCUUUACCAAGUUUUUCCCUAUGUCUAAAACAAAUGUCAUUAGGAGAGAGAUAAAUGAUUUUUGUCAAAGAGAGGGUGAACAAUUUUAUGAGUGUUGCGAAAGAUUCAAUGAUUUACUCCUCAAGUGUCCCCACCAUGGUUUUGAGAAAUUGAGACUUAUACAGUGCUUUUAUAAUGGUUUAACUAUGUCAAAUCAUCACAUGAUAGAGUCUGUGAAUGGUGGGAGAUUUUUUAAUUUACAUAAGGGGCUGCUUGAGAUUUCUUUAUUUUACUUUUUGAGAAUUCUCAACAAUGAGAUUUUUCAAAUCAAAGAAAAAAAUGAUCUCAAGUUUCUAGGAAAGUCUAUAUGAAGUUAAUGAUGAUUUUGAUGUUAAGGUCAUUCUAGCUACACUUUCUAAGAAAAGUAGAUACCUUAACUCUGAACCAAUCAAUGAAUCAUCACCCUAGUGUACCUAAUGAGGUUUGUACUCUUUGUUCUAACUUGUCUCAUACAGCACAUAAUUGUCCAUCAUUGCCAGCCUAUCAAGAGGCUUAUUCUGAGCAAGUACACGCCUUACAAUCAUAUGAAAAAAACCUUCAAUAGUCCAUAUUCAUCCACAUAUAUUCUUAAUUGGAGGAACCACCCUAAUUUUUCUUGGAAACAAAGUCAGCCUUUAUCAAACUAAGGAGGACAACAAUUCAACGUACCCAAUCAACAAUUUGUCCUUACUAACCAAGUAUAUCCUCCUGCCCAACAGCCUGUGUCUCAAUUUGUUACACCUUAGCAAAGAAAACCUUCUUCAGAUGAUACACUUCAAAGUUUCAUUCAGUCAACCCAACAAGCUUUUCAGUCAAACACUCAAGCUAUUCUAAAGCUUGAACAUCAAUUGGGUCAAUUAGCAACUGCUAUGGCUGAGAGAAAAAAAUGAAAAUUCCCAAGUCAACCAGUUCUUAAUCCUAAAUGAGUGCAUAAAGUUGGAUCAACUUCAAGCCAUCAGUAUAAAGAAGCAAAAUCUAUUAUGACCUUGAGAAAAUGAAAAAUAUUUGACAAUAAGGUGGAGGUUCGAACAAGAAAGACAUCUGAACCUACUUCUGCAUAUCCAGUUCCAUCACAAGACUCAUCACUAAAUGAUCCAGAAGAAAGUAAUCCACCAGCUUACAUUCCUAAGGCUUAUUUUCCUUAAAGGUUAACAAAGGUAAAGAAAGAGACUUCAACAUGUGAGAUUAUAGAAAUCUUCAGGCAUGUAAGUAUAAUCAUCCCUUUACUCGAUGGUAUUAAGCAAGUUCCUCAUAUGCCAAGUUUUUGAAGGAUUUAUGAACUAAAAAAAGAAAUUUGCAUGUCACCAAAAAUGCAUUUUUAACUGAACAAACUAGCAAUUUACUUCAAUAUAAAAUGCCACCAAAAUUUAAGGAUCCAGGUUCCCCUACUAUCUCAUGUGUUAUAGGGAACCAAUUGUUUGAUAAAGCAUUAUUGGAUUUGGAUGCAAGUGUUAAUCUCUUGCCUUACUUUGUUUACAUGCAGCUUGGAUUACAUAAAUUAAAGUCAACUUCCAUUAUUUUGCAACAUGCAGAUAGGUCAAUGAAAAUACCUCAUGGUAUUAUAGAGGAUGUGUUGAUACAGAUUGAUAAAUUUUAUUAUUUUGUUGACUUUAUUGUUAUUGAUACUCAGCAUGUACAAGAUCCUAAGAAACAUACCCCAGUUAUUUUAGGUCGUCCUUUCUUAGCUACAGUUGAUGCUCUUAUUAAUUGCAGGAAUGGAAACAUGCAAUUAUCUUUUGGUAACAUGACCAUGGAAUUAAAUAUUUUUAAUGUUCCUGAUAACUCUAUGAAAUGAGAGUUAUUACAUCAAUUCUAAACUUAAAUCAAGAUCACUUAGAGAACAAAUAAGGUGUUUUUAUUACAUUUUGGUUAUAUUUUGCAUAAACAUUCAUUUUAGUUAAGUUUUAAUAAGUUUUGUUUAAAUCAAAGUAAUUGGUGCUAAAAACAGUUGCAUAAUUGUAGGUUUUCAGAAAGUCUUAAUUCAUGAGAGGAUGGUGAGACAUUAGAUGAGCAAGGGGAGGAAAGAAGAUAGCCGCAAAAGAAGUAAAGCACAAUCGAGAAUAGUACAGUGUUGUAGCGGAUGUUAAAGCAACCAGUGGUAUAACAAUCUGGGAGCAAUGCUGGAGAAAAUUUAGGCACGGGUCAGCUGCAGAAUCGCGAUUUGCAUGUUUCCUAAUUUAACUCAUGCACGCUUAUGGACUUUUGUUUUACUCUAGUUUGCAGUAUAAAAGAUAGGCGUGCACCACAUAAAGAGGCGACAAGAGGAAUUAUCAUAAAAAAUCAUUAGAGAGAAAAAGAGAAGAAGAUCAGAAUUAAAGAGUGUUGUUUCGGCAACAUUGAGGAAUCUGGCAGAAUUAUUCGAAUUUGUCUUUCACUAUGGUCAACUGAUAUUUAUCUUCUUCUUUUGAUUGUUUUAAUGUAUCCCGUGAACAACAUAUUUAUGUUUGUUUUUCUUAUUCAGAAUAUGAACUAGAUUUGCUUGUAGUUGAGUGACAAACAAUCCAAUGGGUUCUUGACUGUUCUUAUGUGUUGUUAUGUCAUUGCUGUAGCAUUAUACUCUAGUAGUUAUUAUUAAUAUAACUGUUAUUUCGGUUGACCACCCAUUUAAUAGUUCCAGUUAAGAUAGAGCAGCAAAAAUGCAUGUCUUAGCGGACAUUAUUAGAGUAUUACUUGAUCUUAAGUUAAGUUUCCUAGAUUAAGUUAUCUUGAAUCCCAUAAGGGCAAUACUUGAAGUUAAGAUUUGUGACACACUAGACAUAGGUGCUCACCUUGUAGGGUGGAGAGAUAAAAAAAGAUCAUAAAGCCAUAUCAUGAGUAGAUUAGCAACUGGUCAUUGCUAGUGUAUUUAAGGGUAUGAGAGUUCCAAUAUGCAACAGCUGAGGAUGCAGAUUAAUUCCGCCCAGUACUGCAGCACUUGCUGUAACAAUUGGAGUCCACUUGAUGAAAAACAGUCAGCCCAUAAGGAGAGUUUGAUCAUUCAACUACCAUGUUCUUACUUGAAUCUUAGACACAUUUAGUUUAGUUUAUUUCAUUGUGGUUUUGUUUAUUUUAUUCUCUCACAAUCAUUAAUUACGAUAGAACACAUUUUACGUUUGUUAACUUCGGAUUUGAAUUAGUUUGCACUAUUGUGAUUGCUACAAUAUUUUUGGUAACAUCAAUCCCUGUGGAGACGAUCUUGAAUACUCAUCACUUUAUUACUUGUUGUGUACACUUGCACAUUGACAAUAAUAGCUUUUGAUUAUAAAAUCAACCAACAAGUUUUUGGCGCCGUUGCUGGGGGUUGAUUAUUUAUUUUUGAAGUGUUAAGUAAAUCUUGAUAGCACCAAAUUUGAUUUAAUUCAUUCUAUUUAUUGGCAGAUCAAUACUUGCAUGCGCAAAGACAGAUAUGUGAUGUUUCAGUUCGAUCCUGAGAUUGAAAUGACUGUUAGGAGAUUGCGAAGAGAACAAAGGAAGUCAAAAACUGUUUCAAGCAUGAAUAAUUUACAGGAUGAGGGAAAUUGAACCUUCACGGGCCCUUACAACCAGUUAACAUUCAAGAAGAGCAGAAUGAACAUGCUAACGAGAGACAACCAGGCAAUAACAAUAUUAUUUACAUGGCUAAUGACAGAGACAGAGCUAUUAGAGAUUAUGCUGUGUUAACUCCUCAAGUUGUACACCUUGGGAUAAUCAGACCUGAAGUAGAAGUUGUAAAUUUUGAGUUGAAGCCAGUGAUGUUUCAAAUGUUGCAAACAGUUGAUCAAUUAAAUAGAUUACCAAAUGAAGAUCCUCAUCUCCAUCUUAAGUUGUUCUUGGAAGUGAGUGAUGCUUUCAAGAUUGCUGGAGCAACACAAGACGCCUUAAAGCUGAGACUUUUUCCUUAUUUCUUAAGAGAUCGAGCAAGAGCAUGGUUAAAUUCGUUACCAUCUGAUUCCAUCACUACAUGGAAUGAGUUGGCUGAUAAAUUCCUAAUGAAAUAUUUUUCACUGACAAAAAAUGCAAAGUUGCGGAAUGAGAUAACUUCUUUUCAUCAACUUAAAGAUGAAAGUUUGUACGAGGCUUUGGAAAGAUUCAAAGAAUUGCUCAGAAGGUGUCCUCAUCAUGGCAUUCCUUGUUGCAUUGAAUUGGAAACUUUCUACAAUGGGUUGAAUCCAAGUACAAGGUUAAUGGUGGAUGCUUCAGCAAAUGGAGCCCUGUUAUCCAAAUCUUAUACUGAAGCUUAUGAAAUUCUGGAGAGAAUUGCCAAUAAUAAUUAUCAGUGGCCAUCAACCAGGCAACCAGCAGUAAGAGGAUCAGUAGGGGUACAUAACAUAGAUGCAAUUACAGCCUUAUCAGCACAAGUAACCUCAUUGACUAACAUGGUAAAGACCAUGACAUCUGCUCCAACAGUAGUGAAGCAAGUUGCGGAACUUUCUUGUGUAUACUGUGGUGAAGGACACGACUUUGAUAAUUGUCCUGGAAAUCCAGCAUCAGUAACUAUGUGGGUAAUUUCAAUCGACAGCCUCAGAACAACCGAUAUUCAAAUACUUACAACCCUGGAUGGAAACAACACCCAAAUUUCUCAUGGAGUAGUCAGAAUCGAAAUGCUCCAGCAGUAAAUGGACAAAAUAGGAACACUCAACCAUCUGGAUUUCAUCAGCAGAGUCAGGGGAAAAAACAUAGCAAUCAGGAUCCAAUCAUUUCACUGGAAGCAUUGAUUAAAGAGUACAUUACAAAGAAUGAAGCAAUUGUGCAGAGUCAAGCCGUAUCCUUGAGGAACCUGAAAAAUCAAAUGGGACAACUUGCCACAGCAAUGAGUAGCAGGACUCAAGGAAGUUUACCUAGCAACACAGAAGACCCUAGGAGAGAGGGUAAAGAACACUGCAAAGCAAUUAAUUUGAGAUCUGGAAAAAAUGUUGAUAUCCCAAUUGAUGUGAUUAACAAGGGUAAGGAAGUUAAUUCCUCACAAAAACCACCUCAAGAUGGAAGCAUGUUACAACAACCCAACCAUCAAAACACUAGUUACAUGGGCCAAGCUACAGCAACUGCAGAGGGAGUUCAAUCAGAACAUGUUGAAAAAGAAGUUGCAACACCAGUAGCCACGACCUACACCAAACCAAACAAACAGAGUUUGGUACCUCCUGAAGCUACCCAGCAGUUUAGACAUCCACCACAUUUCCCACAGAGAUUCCAGAAGCAAAAACAAGACAAGCAGUUCAGUAAAUUCCCGGAAGUGCUGAAACAAUUACACAUAAAUAUACCUUUUGUGGAAGCCUUGGAGCAAGUGCCAAAUUAUGUGAAAUUUCUAAAAGACAUCUUGGCACGAAAGAGAAUGCUGGGAGAGUUUGAAAUUAUUGCUUUAACACAGGAAAGCAGUCAUAUGCUCCAAAGUAAGAUUCUUACAAAAGUGAAAGAUCUAGGAAGUUUUACAAUAUCAUGCUCUAUAGGAACUAGGUAUACUGACAGAGCACUUUGUGCUUGGGAGCUAGUAUUAAUUUAAUGCCAUUAUCUGUAUUUAAGCAGCUGGGAGUAGGGGAAUACAGACCAACAACAGUCACUCUGCAAUUAGCUGACAGAUCUCAUGCAUACCCUGAAGCAAAAAUUAAGGAUGUACUGGUGAAGGUGGACAAAUUCAUCUUCCCAGUAGACUUCAUUGUACUAGACUUUGAAGCUGAUAAAGAGGUGCCCAUUAUACUUGGAAAACCUUUUCUAGCAAUUGGAAAGACUUUGAUAGAUGUGCAAAAAGGAGAGCUCACCAUGAGAGUAAAUGAUCAGCAAGUCACAUUUAAUGUACUAGAGGCUAUGAGAAGUCCUGAUGAAGUAGAAGAUUACAAUUUCCUAAGUGUUGUGGAUUUUGUUAUAGCAGACAGAAUGGACAAAUGCUGCAGUAAUGAAAUCAACAAAGUCACCACCUUUGAGAAUGUAGAAGAGGAAGAUGUUGUAGAAAAUCAGAUAGAUUGGAUAAAAGAAAAGAAAUUUGAUAGGCACAACAGGUUUAUUGAGCAUCUGAAUCUUUCAGACAGGAAAGUAAAAAUAACUUUACCAUCUAUUGAAUCACCUCCUAGUCUUGAAUUAAAAUUGUUAUCUUCACAUUUGAAGUAUGUUUAUCUUGGUCAAAACAACACACUCACUGUGAUCAUUUCUUCUACUUUGGAUGCAGGUCAAGAACAGAGUUUAGUAGAUUUGUUGGGAAAAUACAGAAGAGCAAUUGAAUGGACCAUGGCAGACAUCAAGAGGAUAAGCCCAUCAAUAUGCAUGCAUAAAAUCCUGUUAGAAGAUUGCUACAGCAAUUCGGUGGAGCAUCAGAGAAUGUUGAACCCUAUUAUGAAAGAAGUGGUGAAGAAGGAAAUCAUCAAAUGGUUGGAUGCUGGACUCAUAUACCCAAUAUCAGACAAUUCGUGGGCGAGCCCAGUUCAAUGUGUUCCAAAGAAGGGAGAGAUAACUGUGAUAGUUAAUGGGAUGGAUAACUGUGAUAGCUGAUGAGAGAGAUGAACUUAUUUCUACAAGAACAGUGACUAGAUGGAGAGUAUGUAUGGAUUACAGGAAGCUCAAUAAAGCCACAAAGAAAGACCACUUCUCACUCCCAUUCAUAGAUCAGAUGUUGGACAGACUUGUUAGAAAACAAUACUAUUGUUUCCUAGAUGGGUAUUCAGGCUACAACCAGAUUGCUAUAGCUCCAGAAGAUAAGGAAAAGACUACAUUUACUUGUCCUUAUGGAACAUUUGCCUUCAGAAGAAUGCUCUUUGGGUUGUGCAAUGCUCCAGCAACUUUUCAGAGAUGCAUGAUGUCUAUUUUUUCUGAUAUGGUAGAACAAACUUUAUAAGUUUUCAUAGAUGACUUUUCAGUUUUUGGAGAGACAUACAAUGAUUGUUUACACAACUUAGAAGAAGUUCUUAAAAGAUGUGAGAUGACUAACUUAGUACUUAAUUGGGAAAAAUGUUAUUUCAUGGUGCAAGAAGAAAUAAUGUUGGGUCAUAAGGUGUCCAAGAAAGCCAUUGAGGUAGACAAAGUCAAGAUAAAGGUAAUAAAUAAACUGCCACCCCCCACUCAAUAAAGGGUAUAAGGAGUUUUUUGGGCCAUGCUGGAUUUUACAGAAGAUUCAUUAAGGAUUUUUCCAAGGUAGCUAAACCAUUAUGCUCAUUGCUGGAACAUGACAAGCCCUUUCACUUUGACAAAGAUUGUCAUCAAGCAUUUGGAGAAUUAAAGAAAGCUCUUAUCACUACUCCAGUUGUUAUAUCUUUAGACUGGACGUUACCAUUUGAAUUGAUGUGUGAUGCUAGUGAUCAUUCUAUUAGAGCAGUAUUAGGACAAAAAAAGGAUAAGGUUUUUCACUCCAUAUACUAUGCAAGCAAAACUCUUACUCAAACUCAAAUCAAUUACACCACUACAGAGAAAGAGUUGCUAGUAGUAGUAUUUGUUUUUGACAAAUUCAGGGCCUACUUGGUGGGUACUAAAGUGAUUGUAUAUACAAACCAUGCAGCCAUCAAAUACUUAAUUUCAAAGAAUGAUGCCAAGCCAAGAAUAAUCAGAUGGAUCUUAUUGCUUCAAGAAUUUGAUCUGAAAAUUAAAGAUAGAAAAUGGACUGAGAAUCAAGUAGCAGACCACCUGUCACGGCUGGAAGCAAAUACAAGUACAUUGACAAGAAAUGACAUCACUGAAACUUUUCCUCAUGAACAGCUGUUGGUAGUACAACAAGCACAUAUGCUGCAGUUAGGAUCUCCAUAGUAUGCAGAUUUUGCUAACUACUUGGUAAGUGGAUUGCUACCACCUGAGCUGAAGUUCCAAGAGAAAAAGAAAUUUCUUUAUGAUGUAAGAAGUUAUCAGUGGGAUGACCCACAUUUAUAUAAGUUGUGCUCAGAUCAAGUAAUACGAAGAUGUGCUGCAGAAGGAAAGAUUCCCCACAUACUGGAGUCAUGCCAUGCUGCAGCAUAUGGAGGACAUUUUGGUGGUCACAGAACAGUUGCUAAAGUUCUGCAAUCAGGUUAUUACUAGCCUACCAUUUUUAAAGAUGUUUAUGAAUUUGUUAAAUGUUGUGACAGGUGUCAAAGGACAGGGAACAUAACUAGAAGACAUGAAAUGUCAUUGACCAACAUUCUAGAAGUGGAAGUUUUUUAUGUAUAGGGAAUAGAUUUCAUGAGACCUUUUCAACCAUCCUUUGGGAACUUGUAUAUCCUUGUUGCUGUGGAUUAUGUCUCCAACUGGGUAGAGGCUGCAGUAUUACCUACCAAUGAUGCUAAAGCAGUGGUGGUUUUUCUUCAGAAAAAUAUUUUUUCCAGGUUUAGCACUUCUAGAGCAAUUAUUAGUGAUGAGGGUACUCAUUUUUGCAACAAAGUCUUUGCUGCAGCUAUGGUAGAAUAUGGAGUCAGACACAAGGUAGUAACAACAUAUCACUCGUAGUUCAAUGGUUAGGCUGAAGUGUCCAACAGAGAAAUUAAAAAGAUCUUAGAAAAAGUGGUGAACCCAACAAGGAAUGAUUGGUCUUUGCAAUUACAUGACUCUCUAUGGACCUACAGAACAGCAACAAAACUCCACUUGGCAUGUCUCCUUACCGAAUUGUUUAUGGGAAGGCUUGUCAUUUGCCACUAGAGCUAGAGCAUAACGCACACUAGGCACUGAAGAAAUUAAAUUGGGACAUUCAUGCUGCAGCAGAGCAAAGAAAGCUUCAACUUUGUGAGCUUAAUGAAUUACGACUAUUUUCAUAUGAAAAUGCUAGAAUCUAUAAAGAAAGGACAAACCACUGGCACGACAAGCAUAUUCAACACAGACAGUUCAGCCCUGGUCAACUAGUGCUGCUCCACAAUACAAGACUAAGAUUAUUUUCAGGAAAGCUAAAAUCACGAUGGUUUGGAAUUUUUAGGCUGUUAAAAUGUUAUCCUCAUGGAGCUGUUGAUCUUUUAGAUGAAAAACAGGUCACAAAUUUAAAGUUAAUGGACACAGGGUUAAGCAUUACAUACACCCAGCAACAGAUUGUUCAAAGGAGGUUUUACUCCUUAAAGAACCCAGCUAUUGAGCAGUGAAAGAAGGUCAGGCUGAAGGACCUUAAAUCAAGCGCUCCAUGAGAGGCAACCCAUUGUGGAGAUAGCCACUUCAAACCAAGUUUGAUCAUCUUUGGUUUUGUUAAUGGUUCUCCCUCUCUUCCAUUUUAUUUAAUCUUGUUCUUUAAUUUAAGUUACUUAGUUUUAUCUUUUCACAUUAUUGCAUUUUUUUUAUGUUGCUAUCAUUUGAUCUCUUUAUUUUUAAUUAUAUUUUUAGAAUCGAUUUUAGUUUUUGUGGUAAGUAUGAGUGGCAUUAGAUUUUCAUUUUAACCAGUGGGGUUGUAUGGUGACAGAGUGCAGAGGCAAGCCACGUGUCAAAGAGCAUUGGAGGGACGUAUGUAACCGUUGCUAGAGCAAGCAAGUGUGUGCUGCAACACCCAAUAUUACCAUUACAGUAAAUUAAAAAUUAGAGCCUCUCACUUACCGUUGGAGAUAAAUCAUGACAGAUGGCAGCAUGGAUUUGGAUAGCAAUUGCGAAGAAAUCUCCUAAAUUAAUGCAUUAAUUUCGCUGGCCUAUGUUUUAGGGAUAUACAUAUUAAAUUCAAAAUAUUUUCUUCCCUUAUUUAUCUAUAGUUACCGGAUUUAUCUUCACUUAAAGUUCACUAUAAAAGGGAGUCACUGUGCGUAGUGAUCUACGGCACUAUUCCCCAUCUCCUUCGCAAAUACAACUUUCAUAAUUCUUAACCUCUUCUUCUCAUUUUACCAUCAGAUUGUUACUGCUAUAGCAAUGCCAAGGUAUAAGAAAAUAACCAGCCGCCUCAAAGAUCCUUCACACUUCCAGAGUUACCACGCCAAAGAAAAAUAUGAAGAAUUUAUAGAGCCGCGUAAGAUUCUAGAAGAAAAAAGGGUUUCAAUUUCCAGAGCGACUCAUCGGAAUUGUGCAAACAAUACACAAUGCUGCAGCAAAUGGUGGAUGGUUGGACUUUUGCAACCACCCUCGAAAUCCUGUGCUACCGGUAGUCAAGGAAUUUUACGCCAAUUUGGUAAGCCCUGAUCAGCACAACAUUUGGGUAAGAAACACACUUGUUCCAUUAGACUCCCGCGUUAUAAAUGCUUUUUAUAAUUUACUUGCUGAAAUUAAUUGUGAGUAUACCAAGUUGCUUGAUAAAUUGACCCCAAAGAAAUGGAACACCAUCUUCACAACUCUUACAAUUGAAGGGGCAUCAUGGGCUAACGAGGAAGGGUGUGUAGUUAAUAGGAUAGAUUUGAAACUUAUUGUUAAGGUGUGGGUGAAAUUUUUAAAAUCUAGGCUUAUGCCAACCACUCAUACUACUACGGUUUCACAAGAGAGGUUGGUCUUGUUAUAUGUCAUUGUUCGAGGGCUUCUCAUAGAUGUAGGUAGCAUCAUCGAAAAAGAAAUCAGGGACUAUGCAGUUAAGAAUCACAAAACUAAUGCUCUGCUAUUUCCUUCGCUCAUCACCAGCAUUUAUGUAGUAUCCGGUGUUCGUCUUGACGUGAGAAAUGACCAUAUCAAGAAUGAUGGUGCCUUUACGACACGUACCAUUGAGAGAGUUGCUGGUGAGAGUGCUGGAACAACAACUGAACCAACUACUGUAAUAGGAGCAAGACGAGUUAUUGGUUUAGAACAAACAAUUCAGGCGCUCAGCAAAGCUCAGCAGAGGGAAAAUGAUUGGUUUUGGAGCUAUCUACAGCACCUGAACAACCAACUACACUAAUUUGCUUUGUACAUGAAACGCACUCACCGGAACUUCCCUGAUUCAUUGCUCCAGCAAUACAAUUUUGACACCAACACCACAGGUGCUCCAGCAGCAGCCAGUGAAGAAGCCACUGCCACAGAUGAACCAGAAGAAGAAGCUGCAGUCGAACCACAAGCAGAGGUAGAAUCAGAAGAUGCUGAAACAUCUGAUCAACCUGAGGAAGAAGGUGACAAGUUUGCAACUGAUAGCUCACCCACAGAGGCAGAGGACAACUCUGAGAAAGAACGUGAGGAACUUUCCAUUCCAACUCAUUCCAAAACCAGGAAAAGACACAUCAUUCAAGAAGAGGAAGAGGAAAACCCUUAAAAGGAACCUUUCAUUCCAGUCCUUACGGGCAAGGGCAAGGGCAAGGGCAAGGUAAAAAUAGCAACACCUCCAGCCUCUGAAGAUGAAAUAGAGCAAAUCGAUGCAGAGCUGGCUGCUGCAGUAACCAGAGUUACGCCUACACCUGCAGAAGCCAAGCAGCUACUUGAUAUCAUUGCUGCCAUCACAGCUGAAGGUCAGGCAGCUGAUGCCUCAACUCCAAUUCCUCCACAGAUGACUCCUAGCCAACUUGUUCGUACCAGUCCACGAUAAUCCAGUAAAAGAAAAGGCAGUACGUUUAAAGGCACUGCUACAACAGCCUCGCCUCAACCAAAACGGACCAGGUCGGUGUCAACUACACAACCUACCCCAGCCGCAACUCCUCUCGCCAGCCCAGUGACGAAAAAGACAAAGACAUUGCCAGUCACUUCCCCACAAGUUUCACCAAAGGAUAAGCUGCGCAGUGCAUCCAAGAAACGCUAAUAUCAUCCCGUCAUUUGCAGCAGUCCCAACCACAUGGAAGUAUCCCUACCUUGCUAGUUAAUUUAUUGUUAAAAAAAAAACUUUUCUUUCAGUUUUAUUGUUAAAAAAAAACUUUUAUUUCAGUAUGUUUUUCAAAUUUUGUGGUAUUUUCUAAUGUCUUCCAUGUCCUUGUCCACUUGUGUGCCUUUGUUAUGUAUGCUUGUGAGGACAUAGCAACUCUCAAGUUGGGGGGGUUGUGUUUCCAAAUGUUUGUGUUUAUGUGUAUGCUUGUGUUGUGUGUUGUGUGAAGCUCUGUUAUCUAAUAUUUGUGUAUGGAUUUGAAAACCUAAUGAAGAUAUAUUGAGUGUUAUUCAAAAUUUAUGAGAAUGCCAAGUAGAGAUAGUUAUAGAUGGAGGUUGAAAUUAUGUCCUGACACUUAGACUUUGGUUGAAUUGUAUGAGAUUGCUAGAGCAAAGCCAAAAGAAUGGAAAAGAUCUUAAGUUUGGGGGGGAAAAUAAGUUGAUUGACUGUGAUAUCUAUGUAAUAAACUCUGUUUCAAUAGCUCAAGUUGCUGAAUAACCAGAUAUGAGUAUGUACCCCAUAUGUAGAAUUGUGUUCAAAGGUAGCAAGAGUUAUGAGCAAUGCUGUAGCAUUUUUAAAAAAAAAAUCCUAUGUCUAAGGCAUUGAGUAGUCAGGUCUGUUCAUGAGCCCCAUGUUCAGCCUUGAAUAAAAAAUAUCUCUAGAUAAGACUAUAUUACAGAUAUUGCUACAGCAACUCUGAUCUGUGCAUGGUUUGAGUAAUUGGGUGUCAUCAUUACAAUUGAUUGACAUUCACAUGAAAAAUAAAUGUUGCAAUGAGGAAGUUGAAUACUCUCCAGUUUCUCAAUCUUAAAAUCAUCACAGUUCGAGUAUGUGAAAUUUAUGCUGCCCCAUAUAUGAUGAAGUUUUAUCACUGCUGAAAUUCAUGCAGUCUCUUAGUGAUGUUAUAGCAUCUCUGGAAUACAAUCAAAGUAGCACACACACACACAAUGGACAGAAAGAAGCUUAAGCCUAGAACUGAUUUACUAUAGUCACGUUGCAUGAUUGGGAUUGUGAUCUGAAGGUGGAAGAAUCCUUGCAAAUUUGAUAAAAGAACUAAAGUUAUUUUGCAUGAUUGUUUGUGUGAAGUAUUAGUAUGUUGUCAUUACUUGAGGACAAGUAAUGGUUUAAGUUUGGGGGUGUGAUAACUCUAGGAAAUGAGAGUUAUUACAUCAAUUCUAGACUUAAAUCAAGAUUACUUAGAGAACAAAUAAGAUGUUUUUAUUACAUUUUGGUUAUAUUUUGCAUAAACAUUCAUUUUAGUUAAGUUUUAAUAAGUUUUGUUUGAAUCAAAAUAAUUGGUGCUAAAAACAUGUGCAUAAUUGUAGGUUUUUAGAAAGUCUUAAUUCAUGAGAGGAUGGUGAGACAGUGGAUGAGCAAGAGGAGGAAAGAAGAUAGCUGCAGAAGAAGUAAAGAACAAUCGGGAAUAGUGCAGUGUUGUAGCGGAUGUUAGAGCAACCAGUGCUAUAGCAAUCUGGGAGCAAUGCGGGAGAAAAUUUAGGCGCGGGUCAGCUGCAGAAUCGCGAUUUGCAUGUUUCCUAAUUUAACUCAUGCACGCCUAUGGACUUUUGUUUUACCCUAGUUUGCAGUAUAAAAGAGAGGCAUGCACCACAUAAAGAGGCGACAAGAGGAGUUAUCAUAAAAAAUCAUUAAAGAGAAAAAGAGAAGAAGAUCAUAAUUGAAGAGUGCUGUUUCGGCAACAUUGAGGAAUCUAGCAGAAUUAUUCGAAUUUGUCUUUCAUUGUGCUCAACUGAUAUUUAUCUUCUUCCUUUGAUUGUUUUAAUGUAUCCCGUGAACAACAUAUUUAUGUUUGUUUUUCUUAUUCAAAAUAUGAACUAGAUUUGCUUGUAGUUGAGUGACAAACAAUCCAAUGGGUUCUUGAUUGUUCUUAUGUGUUGUUAUGUCAUUGCUGUAGCAUUAUACUCUAGUAGUUAUUAUUAAUAUAACUGUUAUUUCGGUUGACCAUCCAUUUAAUAGUUCCAGUUAAGAUAGAGCAGCAAAAGGGCAUGUCUUAGCGGACAUUAUUAGAGUAUUACUUUAUCUUAAGUUAAGUUUCCUAGAUUAAGUUAUCUUGAAUCCCAUAAGGGCAAUACUUGAAGUUAAGAUUUGUGACACACUAGACAUAGGUGCUCACCUUGUAGAGUAGAGAGAUAAAAAGGGAUCAUAAAGCCAUAUCAUGAGUAGAUUAGCAACUGGCCAUUGCUAGUGUAUUUAAGGGUAUGAGAGUUCCAAUAUGCGAUAGCUGAGGAUGCAGAUUAAUUCCGCCCAGUGUUGCAGCACUUGCCGUGACAAUUGGAGUCCACUUGAUGAAACACAGUCAGCCCAUAAGGAGAGUUUGAUCAUUCAACUACCAUGUUCUCACUUGAAUCUUAGACACAUUUAGUUUAGUUUAUUUCAUCACGGUUUUGUUUAUUUUAUUCUCUCACAAUCAUUAAUUACGAUAGAACACAUUUUACGUUUGUUAACUUCGGAUUUGAAUUAGUUUGCACUAUUGUGAUUGCUACAACAUUUCUGGUAACAUCAAUCCCUGUGGAGACGAUCUUGAAUACUCAGCACUUUAUUACUUGUUGUGUACACUUGCACAUUAACACCAAUAGCAUUUGAUUAUAAAAUCAACCAACAGUUCCCAAGCAGGCACAAGACAAUAAUGAAGUCAUUGAAGUAGAUAUGAUAGAAGCAUCAAUUGAUUAUUCAUUUAUUUCUAACCACUAUGCUAAUUCAUUAACACCAUGCACAACUGACUCUAAUUUAUCUUUUGAUGGUGAGAGUGGUAUUAAAGAAGUUAAUGCUUUACUUGAUUCAACUCUUAUCACAGAUCUAAUUAAGAGGAAAGAAAAUAUUAAGCUUAUAACACCCCAAAAUUUUCCAAGAAUUUUAAAAGAAAUUUGAAAUGUAAUCUCUAAACAAUUAAAAUUUAUUAAUAAUCCCAAAUGAAAAUCAAUAAUGUCCAAAGUCGAAACAUAGUCUCUAAAACAAUAAAUAUAACAAUAACCCUCCAAUAUCAAAUUCAGCUCUAAAAUAAUAACCAAAAUAACAACAAUUUAUCCAUCACGAAAAUGCCCAAAGCUUUCGGCUAAUAAAUCAUUUUCUCUAAAACCAAAAAGGCCACAUCUUUAAAAUCACUUUGCAAAAAUAUUGGAGACGAGAGGUGAGGCGUCAACUCAAUAAGCAAACACAUGCAUAAGGUUACUAAUAACGAUAAAGUACAUAAUAAUUAUUAUUAAGUGCCAUGAAUUUGAAAUCAAUAAUCAUUUUAUAUUCUAAUACAUACGUACAGUAAAAUUUAAAAUCAAUUAUAUCAUAACAUAAUGACCAUUUUCAAUAAAUAAUCAUUUAUUAAUAAAAUCUUUCAUUUGUUCAAUUUUGCUCAUGCCUCAUAGUGUCACCUGUACUCCCGGUGACCCAACCGGUAGUUCAAUCAGGGUAUUUUACCCCGCAAUAAUUGUCAAUGGUGUGCACAAUACAAUUAACUGUUCAGUCAUAUCAGUAGCAGAUACUACAGACAAUGAGCAAAAACCUUAAAGUAAUUUUCAAUCUUUCAAUAUUAACGUUCAAUAAUUGAUCAACAAAAUCUCUUAUAAGACAUUUAAUUGGCAAAGCUUUACAAAUUAUUUUAAGGAAAACAAUUUAUGGAACAGAAGUAUUUUAAAGCCAUUAUUUUAAAAACAAUUUAAGAAAAAUAUUUUAAAUAAACUUUAAACCAAAAUGUAAAUCAUUAUUAUAAACUAUAACAACAAACAAUAAUUCAAAAAUAUAAAUAUGCCAAUCCUUGUGAACAACAUUAUUCUUUUCAUACAUAAAUUCGUACACACACACACAUAUAUAUAUAUAUAAUAUUUUGAUGAUAGGUUUUACAAAUCCAAUCCGAAGCUUUUUGUGAAAGCUUUGAUUGAGAAACAAUAAUUUGAGAAGAAGAGCUUUCACAAGAAAUGAUACCAGUACUUUAUUAGAGCCAUGGGGAGGAUAGUGUAAUAUAGGAUAUAAUUUCUAUCCUAUAUUAAAUGACCUUGGACAUUUGUUUAAACCAGUACUUCUAAGAUCGUGGAGUGUGUGUGUGUAUUCAAAAGAUUAAAUAUUUUAAAGACAAAAUAAUAAUCAAUAUUAAAUUGGUACGUGGCGUUGUUUUACCAGAUCAAUGCAGAACUUAAUCUGCCUUAGGGACCAGAUCUGACUUAGAACAGAUCAAUAUCCCGCAUGUUCAGGUUUCCAGUCGAUAUACCAAAAAUUUUAAAAAUUCUUUAUGCAAUUAACGCAAAGGCUCAUGGAUAAUACUAGAUCUGGAUCCCAGAAAUAGUAUUCUGAUUGAAUGGAGGGAGAAGAGAAAAUACGACUAAGGGAAGAGAUCAGGUCUCUGUGCCUUAGAAGAACGUAACAGUUUAAAUAUGCAUAAACUUAAAUUGCAAAAUUAAACAUACAUUUAAAGCUUGAAAUGAAUUAUAAAUUCUUUAAAGAAAUAUUAAAUACUUACAUGAUUUUCUUGAAUCCAAAAUAAGUUACAACUUUUUUAGAAAGGAAAAUUACAAGACAGGAAAUGUUUCCUCUAAGUCUUGAUCCAGAUUUCCCGAAGAGAGAGAGAGAGCUUUCAAAGCCUGCCUCGAUCUACUUUCUGUCCUUCUUUUAAGGGUGCAAGAAGGAAGGCUUUUUGCUGUAGCUUCACAUGCGUUGGAGGAUAAAGGAGUCAGCAAUAGUAAAAGCAGGAUGUGCUUUUGAAAUGUGGGAGCCAGCAUUAUUGAAGGCAUCUUUUGCUUUUGAAGACUUUAGGAAAGCUUCACGUGGAGAGAUGCUCUACGAGGCAAUAGUGUAUACCUUUUGAAAACAUGGCACAUGUGCGGCCACACUUGUGUCUCGAAAGACGUUUUCAAAAGAUAUUCUUACCAAAAUCUUUAUAGGAUGCUUUUGACUUCUUUCUGGACGCAGCAAUGAAGGCUUUAAAAGAUUGGAAAAAUACAAAAAGUACAAGCGAUAAUAAAAAUUACAGAAAUGGGAAAUAUAAGGGAUAAUUACAGAAAUAGAAUUACAGAGAAAAUACAGGAAUGGGAAAUUACCUUUUUUUUUUUUCAAUCAACAAGUUUUAAGUAUGCUUUAAUGGAGAAAGUAUUCCGAAGCAAUCAUCUUCAUUUUCAUCUCCAAGGGAGAUGAAAGGCUUAGCAUCAUCAGAAGAACUUGAACUAGCAAUGGAUGAUUCUGAUCUUGAUGCAAGGAGCUACUGCAUAACUUGAAAGUAUUCUUCCUCCGUUUUUGUACUGGCCAAAAGUGAUUGGGCCUUUGUCCUUUGAGCGAGGAAAGUGCUUUGGGCUUUAACAUCUUGAAUGCUCGGGGUGAGAAGGCCUUUUGAGGAAAGCCAAGCCUGGAUUGUGGCUUCCGAUAGUUUGGAUUGUUCAUCAAACUUAGACCACCAUUUUACUUUAAAGGUCCUUUGUAGAAUGAGUUGGGUAUCUUGAGUGUGGUAAAUGAAGUUCCACAUCCAGACCCAAGGAAGAAAGAAAUUUGUACAGAAACAGAGAAAAUGAGGAAAUCCCUUCUCUGACUCAGAAGGGACAUAAUGAGCUUUAAAAAGAUUUAAACAAUUUAUGGCAUUUGGGGUUAGAAUGUCUGGGCUUGGCCCAAAGUAGUUCCACCAUUAUUGGAACCAAUUUGGAAGGCUUUGUACGGUUAUUUUCGAGUUGAAGAAAAAUAACCAAGAAUAGGUCUUUUUGGGGUUUUGAAUGAAAAAUGUGUUAAACCAGGCCUAUUGGUAAUCCCAGUAAGAAAAUGAUAAACAGUGGUUUAGACGCAUUUGAAAAUUGGCGGGAAAGGUUUUGGGUUUGUGAAGUUGGUCACCCCACUGUUUUGGGCUCAAGACUUUUAAAAUGGUAGCUGUGGAAUGCUUUUAACAGACUCAGUGAACUCAAGAAUGCUUUGAUAGAAAGCCUGAGGUUUUGAUAAAUCCCAUAGUUUGAAAAACCAGCCUUUCGGGAAAAUCUUUGAAACUGCUUGAAACGGAUCAGAGUGAUAAAACCCAUCUUCCAUUGAUAAAAUAUUUUGAUGAUAGGUUUUACAAAUCCAAUCCGAAGCUUUUUGUGAAAGCUUUGAUUGAGAAACAAUAAUUUGAGAAGAAGAGCUUUCACAAGAAAUGACUUCUUUAGAAUAAGAAUGUUUUGAAAUUGCUUUAGAAAUAGUUUUUUCUUUCUCAGGAACUUGAGAAAGAGCUUUAUUUUGGGAAAUAUUUUGUAAAGCUAACAUAAGCUCAGGAGACUUUGUAAUGGAGUUCAUCCAUUAUUUUACCUGCUUAUCGGAGGCAAUGGCUUUAGACUGUGCUUCUUGUUCUUCGACCAUGUCAAUCCAAGAUUUAAUAGGCAUGGCAGAAGAAAGUAAUUUUUCUUUAGGAGGGGUUAUCUGAGUUUCUUUAGAGGUUGUUUGAGGUUCAUGGUCUUUAAGGAUACCCUUGCCCUUGUCUCUUCGUUUGGGCGGCAUUAUCUGUUUUGAAGAAAUUCCCUGGUUAGAAAAUCAGGGAUAGAAUUUGUAUCUCCUUUAAUGAAUUCAAUGUCAAAAUCAAAAACACUUAAAAUGGCUUGCCAUCGUGCAAAAAUCUGUUUUGAUGCAAUAUUUUGAACAUCAUUUUCUAAAACGUGUUUUGCAGCUUUGCAGUCAAUUCUAAGUAAGAAUUUUUUAUUUAACAAAUCACUUUGAAAUUUAGAAAUGCAUAAAACAAUAGAAAGAAUUUCCUUUUUAAUAGUAGAGUAGUUUCUUUGACAUUCAUUCCAAUGAGCAGAAACAUAUUGUACUAUUUGUUCUUUAUUAAUUUCUUUUUGCUUUAAUAUUCCUCCAUAUCCUAAAUCAGAUGCAUCAGUUUCAACAAUCUUAGGUAAUGUAGGAUUAGCAAGAAAUAAGCAUGGAAUAUCUUUAACAUAACUUUUUAUGAGCUUAACAACUUUAGUGUGUUCAUUAGUCCACGCAACAGGAUUUUUCUUUAAUCUAUCAUGCAAAGGUUUUGAAAUUCUAUUAAUAUUAGGACAAAAAUCAAGAACAUAAUUUAAACUUCCUAAAAAUCUUUGCAAUUGGGUUUUAUCAAGGAUUUUAUCAGGAAAUUUGUCAGCAAAAAUAAGAGAUCGCUCAAUAGGUGUAAUGGUUCCUUUGGAAAUGUAAUGACCAAUGAACCUUAUUCUUGUUUGAAACAAGGAAACUUUAGAACUAGAAAUGGCUAAACCAGUCUUUCUAGUGGCAAGGAAAAACGUCUUUAGAUGUUUGAAAUGUUGGUCGAUCGUUUGAGAAAAAACCAACACAUCAUCGACAUAAACAAUGCAAAAUUCAGACAAAGGAGUAUAAAUAUCAUUCAUAAUCUUUUGAAAUUUGGAAUGUGCAUUCUUUAAUCCAAAAGGCAUAACAGUCCAUUCAUACUGUCCAAAAGGAACAGUAAAUGCAGUUUUAUAACGGUCUUUUGGAUGGAUUUGAAUUUGCCAAAAUUCAGAUUUCAUAUCAAAUUUUGAAAAAAUGAAUGCAGCAUGUAGUUUCUGGAGCAAAUCCUUUUUAUUAGGUAUGGGAUACCUAAUCCAUUUUAAUGUUUUAUUAAGGGGUAAUUUAUGACUAGUCUGGGUGUCCCUCUUUCUAUCUCAGAAUUCUUAUUGACAUAGAAAGCAGCACAAGACCAAGGAGACCAAGACUUGACUAUGAGACAUUUAGAUUCUAAAUCUUUUAUCUCAUCUUUGCAAUGUUGCUCUAAUUCUAUGUUCAUUUGGAUUGGACGGGCUUUGGUAAGUAUUUACUUUUCAUCAAAAGAAUUUUCAUAAGGUAAAUCAACCAAAUGUUGUUUUAUGUUCCAAAAAGCAUAUGGUAGAUCAGCACAUAUUUCUUUUUCAAUGAGGUCUUUAAGAUCAGAGAUUUUUCUUUUUACAAAUUCAUUUUGUAAUUAGUUUUCGAUUCUUUGUAAACUCAAAUCCUUUUUUAAAUAAAUCAGAUCAUUUUGUUUUGUUUUGAGGAGUGUAUUGAUUUGGUUCUGGUAAACAGAACAAGCUUUAACAAUAUUCAAAUUUCUUGUUUUAGGUUUCUCAAUAAAAGGAAAAACAAGUCUUUUGGUCUUUACUUUAAAGCAUAUACUAUCAUAGUUGACAGUAUAAGGAGUAAUGAGAUUGAUAAAGAGGGUUCCUAAAAUGACAAUAUGGUGUAUGUCAUUUGUAAGAAUAAAAGAAGUCCUGAAUUCAAAACCAUUGUUAUGAAUAGAGGCGUCAACUUUAGAAUUGACAUUAAGUUUUGAAUUAUUAGCGGCAGAAAGUCUCUCAUUUUUUUUUUCAUGAAACCUUCUGGGGACAAUAUCUUCUUUAAUGCAAUUUAAAUCAGCACCAGUAUCAAAGAGGGCAAUGAUGUCAAUUUCAAAAUCUUUAGAAAAGAUCAAGGUGAUUUUGAUCAAAUAUUUUCUUGUGGUGAUUUGUUUUAAUACGAAAAGAAAAUCAUUGGGUAUAAAUUCAAUGUUUUCUAAACUUUGUUCUCCAUUAUCACCAUUAUCUUCUUAUUCUUUAUCAGAAUUAUCUUGUAAUUGUCUUUGUAAGAGGAGUUGGAUAGUAUCAGAAUCAUUUUUUUUUGUUUUUCUUUUAAGUCUUUUAUCUCGAGUUUGAUAUUUUUUAUUUCUUUCUGAAGAUCUCGGAUAUUAGGAGUCGUUUUUUUCUUUGUUUUCUUUUUAUCCAAAAUUUCAGUAAGAUCAUAUGUAUUCUUUUUAAUUAUUGGGGCUUUAGAAAUUUCUGUUUUAUUUCCUACUUCUAAGGUUUUUAGAAGUUUAUCAAGGUAUUCUCUUUGAAGAGUAGGGUCAGAAAUGUGUUUGACUAAUUCAAGAAAAGUUUCUUGAUCUUUAGUGAAUACAUUGAUUUUCUUUAGACGAUAUUCUAUGUCAGAAUCACUACUACUAGAUUCUGAAGUAUCAGAAUCCACCAACUCGUCAAUUUGUAGGGGUCAUUGUCUCCUGUCAUGGAAGACUCAGAGUCAGAAGACUCUACAAGUAAAGGGGCAACUUUAGAAAGUAUUUCUUCGUCAAGGCCAAGCUCAUGGAGCUUUUUGUUCAUCCUGCAAAAUUUUGCAGUAUGGCAUUUCUUUCCACAUUUGUAACAUGUGGCUUCUUUGUAGUUAAAAGGGGUUUUAUGUUUGGGUCUAAAAUUCUUCUUCUUAGAGAAGUUGGGCUUCUUAUAAGGCCUUGAAGGUUUCUUAUAAGAAAGUUCUCUAAAAUCUUGAAAGGGUUUUUUAUGGCUUUUUUAUUUGUAAUGUUUCUUAUAAGGUUUUGAAGAACAUUCACCAUUACAAUCUUUAGAGGUGGAAGUUUUAAAGGGAUUAUAAUUGAAUUGCUUACAUAAACUGUCUAAUUCUUGUUUAGAUUUUCUAAGCUCCCAUUUUAGACGUUUCUAAAGUUUCAAGUCUUGACAAAUCUUUAAACAUUCUUUAUUAACAAAACUAACUAAUUCACCGUAUGUGAGUUCGUUAUAAAGAAUACGGUUGUCAUUCAAGGCUUUAGUAGAGUUCCUAACUUUUUCUCCUAAGAGGGUUGGUAAACCUGCAAGGAAUUUUUAUUUCCAAGUGAUAUGGUUUGCAUCAUCUCUUAGGAAGAAUCUAGUAAAGAAAGUGGUUUUAUAGCUUUGGAAUUCACUAAGUUUCCUACAUCUCAGGUUGUGUAGUAACUCAGCAUUUUUGUCUCUAAGGUGUGAAGGAUCACUUAUGAAAUGAAGGGAUACAGUCAGAAUUAGGGUAGCAACAGCAUCCUGAAUAUGGUCAUUUAAUUCGUCACAGAUGGGGGCUCCAUUUUCAUCUGUUUGAAUUGAAUUUAGGAUAUCUGAUUGUUGUUGUUUAGUGAGAAGAUGAUCCCACCAACCUUUAAGUUGACCAGUAAAACCCGCAAUGAGAAUUUCUGCAAUAGCCUUGUCAGAAGUUCCCGACUGAGUUUUAUAUGCAUUAGCUGCCAUAGUCAUAUGUUGCAAUAAUCCUAGAAUGUUGUAUUCAGACAUACCAUCAAUGUUCCACUCAUAGACAGAGGAUGCAUUAAAGCGUGAUUGGUUUAAUGCACUAGGUCCGUUGUCUAUGGCUAAGUCAGGUGGAGAUUUGACAGUAGGUAGGGCUAAUUCCCAAUGAAUUUUGUUGGCUUUAGAAACAGGUUCUUCUUUAAAGGCUUCUAUAUCAGAAGAGGCUAUAGAUAUGUCGUCUUGUUCUAGUACACCAAUUUUACUAGAUUGGGCACUAUCAGGGGCUAUUUGGAUUUUACUAGACGAAGAAGAAGAAGCUUCUAUUUUAUUUAGUUAUUCUCUAAUAGCUUUAGCAAAAUCUGAUUUUGACUCUUGAACAAGCUUUUGACUAGUUUUCGAAACCUGAAAGGGUUUGAAAAUAGGCUCUUUAAGCUUUUUGUCAGAAUCCGAUUUUGAAGUAAUAGGAGAAACAGUUAUGGUAGACUUCUGGAAUUGGUUUUCUAUCCUAGUCAACUGUUUUCCUAAUGUGUUUAGGUUAGCAUUACAAAAAUUAUUCUGUUGAAUAAUGCUGCCUAAAUUUGUCUCUGAAUCAUUUGGUUUAUGGAUUUUGUAGGGUGAGGCUUUAAUCUCAACAGGAGGCACACCAUGUUCAAUGGUCAAACUCCUAAGAGGUGGAUGUUCAGAUUCUAUGGUUCUAUCAUUAUCAAUAAGAUUCCAUUCAGGAAUCUUUUUCCUAAUAAUAAUAGGAUUUGAUUCUUUAAAAGGAAAAUCAAUGUUAUUAUCAGAGGCAUACAUUUUAAACCAGCUAAAGAAUAAAAUAUGAACUUUAUGCAGAUUUAUAAAUUCAUAAUAAAUUUCUUGUAUUUGUUUUCUUUGGCUUAAGAAAUUUUUGAAGAACCAAAGUCUUUUUUCUUUAUUGCAAUCAGAAUAAAAGUCAUUAUGUAGAAGAGUUUUAUCUAAUUCAAAAUCUUUUUCAAGAACAUUUAUUACAUUUUCAGUGACAGCGGAAAAUGUAGGAGAGGUUGGAGGAGAAGGUUCCUUCUCUUCCUGUCUUUGUUCAUGUUGACUGCUAGUGUAGAUUGGGUGAGGAACACUAGUGGUAUAGUCAACAGAGUGGAUAGAGGAACUAGGUAUAUCCGAUGUGGAAAACCUAGGUUGGUUUCUUACUGGUUGGAAAGGGAGGUUUAUAACGGAAGGAAUUUUUGAAAAUCUUCUUUCUAAUGAAGGAAUAUUCGUACUUGAGUCUUUAUCAGAGAACCUAGAAGAUGUAGAUCUCCUAAAGGACAGUUUAACCUUCCCAUCUGAAUACUGAGUCAUAUUUUGCAACUCUGUAUUAGGCUCAAGUUGUUUUGGAAUCACUGGUGCAGUGGCUCCUUCAAGAAUCCAUUCGUCUGGAAGAUUGACAUCUUUCCAUUGGAUUGGUUUUGGAAUAACGGUGUUGGCUUUAGAUAUAUCAGUCUGUAAGAGAAGAGUCUCAUCUCUUUUUGACUGAAACUUAUGUUCCAUACUAAACGCAGAAAUCAUGGCUUUGUAUGAGAUUUUAAAAAUUAAGGCUACUGGGACUGAUCCCUCGAUCAUGUAAUAAUUAUGGGUCUUGAUUUGCAAGAUCAUGCUUUUCAUAAUGUUUUUGUCUUUUAGAGAAAUUGUUAUGUUCGGGUAACAGCUAAAUGAGAUGGGACCUUUGCAAAGACUUGAUUCUAUACUACUUAGCAAAGAAUCAUCAAAAGAGAUGAAUCUCCCAUCUCUUAAGACAGCAAGAAUAGAUGUAUUAAGACCUUCUUUUGUUAAGGGCUUUAUACCAACUUGUAUUAAGCCGAUGUGAACAUAAUUAAAAUUUUUAUCUUUUAAUUUCUUUAAGGAGUGUUCUGAAAAUAGGUGAAUAGUUUCAAAUGGCUUUGAAAGGUUAUGUCACGUUCUUCAGUUUUUAUGACAUAAUCAUUCUUUAGAAAAUCAAGCUUUUUUGUUUUGUAAAUCAUUUCUUUAGAAAUCUUUGGUAAUUCCCAAUUAUCAAUUGCUUUAUUAAAGUCUUCAAUUACAAAUUCUUCUGAAUUAACAACAUUCUUAGAAUCACUAGUUUUCCCGGAAGAAGAGCUAGAAAAGGAUGAUGCUCUACAGAGUAGAGAAUCCAUGGAUAAAACCUAUAUUCUAGUUUUAGUCCUGUAGGUAUGGCUACAAUCCAAGGCUAAGAAUUGGUUUUACUGCCCUUCAACCAAAUCGGGACUUACGACCAAAUGCUACCAAGGCACCCAGAGGUAAACACUCACCACACAAACAAUGUUCAAUAAGAACACAAGUCUUUAAACACAGAAAUUCUAUCCUAUAUUACACUAUCCUCCCCAUGGCUCUGAUACCAGUACUUCAAAGGAAGAAAGAAAUUUAUGGGGUUUGUAAGGGGUUUGUAAUUUAUGACUAGUCUGGGUGUCCCUCUUUCUAUCUCAGAAUUCUUAUUGACAUAGAAAGCAGCAUAAGACCAAGGAGACUUAGACUUGACUAUGAGACCUUUAGAUUCUAAAUCUUUUAUCUCAUCUUUGCAAUGUUGCUCUAAUUCCAUGUUCAUUUGGAUUGGACGGGCUUUGGUAAGUAUUUGCUUUUCAUAAAAAGAAUUUUCAUAAGGCAAAUCAACUAAAUGUUGUUUUCUGUUCCAAAAAGCAGAUGGUAUAUCCGCACAUAUUUCUUUUUCAAUGAGGUCUUUAAGAUCAGAGAUUUUUCUUUUUACAAAUUCAUUUUGUAAUUGGUUUUCGAUUUUUUGUAAACUCAAAUCAUUUUUUAAACAAAUCAGAUCAUUUUGUUUUGUUUUGAGGAGUGUAUUGAUUUGGUUCUGGUAAACAGAACAAGCUUUAACAAUAUUCAAAUUUCUUGUUUUAGGUUUCUCAAUAAAAGGAAAAACAAGUCUUUUGGUCUUUGCUUUAAAGGAUAUACUAUCAUAGUUGACAGUAUAAGGAGUAAUGAGAUUGAUAAAGGGGUAUAUAUAUAUAUAUAUAUAUAUAUAUAUAUAUAUCCGAAGCAACCAAUAAAAACCCUCAAUACACAAGCUCACUCUUGGCUUAUAAUUUUGAAGAUGAGAUUUUUAUCAAUAUCAUAUUCAAGUAUGACCUUCAUAAGAUAUGCAACAUCCCCUUCAUAAACCAUUAACUCUAACCUAAACAAAUCAAUUCCCCAAACUACCCUCGACCAUCUUAUAGGAGCUGAUUUCUAACCAGCUAUAACUAUUGUCGGAAAAUCACAAUUAUUAAAAGUUACCGUAAACAUGUUGGCAUUCAAUAUAAAUGUUAACAAAAUUAAUUAGAGUUCAUAAACAUUUCCGAAAAACUAAUUUUCCACAAAAACAUUAAAACUGUCUAGUGACAAAAUAAACAAAGGACUAUUGGUUUAAAAAUUCAUAAUUUUAGUGAUAUGUGUUCAAAAAUAGUGAUUCAAGUUUUGAUCAUCAGAGGAGACAAUAUAGAGCUAAUGAAAAAGUAAUUAAAAUUAGCUUCAAUAUCACCAGCUUGAAAUUCUGGAAAGCCGCUUCCAAGAUUGCGGCAACCCAGCUCUAUGAUUUUUAAUGAUUUUCAUAUAAAUCCAAAACUUACGAUAUUAAAUACAAAAAAAAAAAAUAGACGUGGAUAUAUAGUAAUAAAAUUUUCUAGAAAUUUUCGGAAGUCAUUUGGAUUACAAAAUAAAUUAUAGAAUUGAGGAUUGCUGUCGAAAAUUGAAAUUUUUCGGUACUAGUAUUCCAAAUUUGAAAAAUCAAAACAAUUAAUAUGCAAUGAAUUUUUGGACAAUAAAUAUAUGGAUACAAAAAUAAAGAUGUCUAGUUUAAUAGGAUAUGAAGUUUUAUGCAUGAGAUUUAACGACAACAUCAACUAUAUAACAUUGAAUCUGCACUGUUUACAGUUUUCAGGAUAAUGUAAACAAAACCAUUCAAAUAAUGACAUAGAAUCACACAUACAAUAGAAAUUCAAAAGAUUAUAAAUACUUACCUCUCUAAGAAGAAUUUCACUCCAGACUACACCUUUGAGACUUAAAGCUUUUGUUCAAACACUUCUUGAAAAUUGUUUUAAUGCAAAUGAGAUACAACAUCAAGACACACACGCAAGCCACACACAAAGAAAAUAAAAAUACAAUCAAACUCAAUCAUUUAGCAUAAUUACUCUAGCCCAGUGUCUCCACUUUCCAAACAUUAAUCAUUCAACAUAAUCAUUACUCCACUCCACCAAUUUCUCCACUUACCAAACAUUAAUCAUUCAAUUUAAUUACUAACAUAAAAUAAUGUAUUCUAUUUAAAAAAAAUAAAAAUCCAAAAGACACUUUAAUCAUUCACUUGUAUAUAAUAAGUAUAAAAUACUACAUUAUGAAAUACAUACAUGAAAGAAAUAGAAGAAAUUUUAGGGUUUACAAAGCCACAUCCUCCUGAAGAGAAAAUUAAACCAUUCAAGUUGGAGCCACUUCCUAAAGAAUCACAUUCUGACAUGAAAAAGGUGGUAAGAUCUAAAGUGCUUAAAUUGUUAGAUUUUUAUAUUACUUCAGAUAACUCUUAGGUAAGCUUGAAACAGAAGAGAUCAAAGCAGUGUGAUAUUGAGGAGUUUCAUUACCAUCAUCCUUUUAUAGAUAAAAAGCUCCAGUGCUUAGUCAAUUAUGUUUUCUGGUAUUUUCUGUAUAAUUGCUUUGAUUUUCACCAAAUUCUUAUUGAUUCUAGUUGAUUUGUUAUUUACAUUAAUUAUUUAGUUUAGUACGAUUUUAUUUAUUUUAUUUUUUUAUUAUUUAUAUUUAUUCGAACGUUUUUUUUUUUAGUUGUCAUUUUCUUUUAAGCUUCCCCAACCCAUUCAGGUGUGUUCUCUCCAACUUUUUCUUUUAUUAUUUAUGUUUUUAUUUUAUUUUUUCAUCUUUUUGCAUACAUAUCUUUUAUUUAUGAAACAUUGAGGACAAUGUUCCGAAUAAGUUUGGGGAUGGGAAUGGUGUGUGCUUUGUUUGUUAUUUAAAAAAAUCAAAAAAAAAAUCAAAUUUUUUUUUUUUUUUUGUGAAAAGUCAAUGAUAAGAACUUGAUUGACAAGGAAUAUGGUUCUUAGAAAGGGUUGAAUAUUGUCUUAGUUUAUACUUGGUUCUUGUGUUAAUUGCUAUUGAUUGAGAUUCUUUAAACAGCAUGAGUACUAAUAUCAAUUCUUUCAUAAUUUUGACUUGAAAUCUGAGAUUGACGCAGCCUGAAUUGAGAAUUUUAGAUAGAGUAAAUGAUUGUUUUCUUGAUUCUUAUCUCCACAAUACAAAAUAGUAUACACAGGCACCAAAUUCAAAAAUAAUUAUCUAUAACCCUUAAGAGUGAAACUAUCUUUAAGUAAUUUGGGCUUACAUACCACCAGUAUAUAGAGGAUAAUCUACCGUAAGAAGAAGGCUACCUUAAGGGGUAGAGUGAACGUUUCUGACUUUGGUUUAAAAAAACAAAAGAGAAAAAAAUCAAGUCCAUGUGCUAAAAAAAAACAAAAUAAAAUGCGUAUAAAAGCCUAUAAAAAAAGAAAAAAAUUGGAGAUCAAGAUGAUAAGAUUAGUUUGACCUACUUUUUUCUGUAUUAGAGGCGAAGGCUAUUGAUAUUGAAGAUUUUGGGAAUUGAUUUGAUUGAAUUGAUUUCACACACACACACACACACUACAAGAAUCGAAAGAGAACUGUUGAAUUAAAGUUAGAAAUUUGCCAAUAUUUGAAAAUUUCUUUGAGCUAUAUAACUUAUGCAACCAUUAAGGCUAUUUUUAUGUUUUAUUUAAAGUUAUUUUAUUUUAUGUUUUUUUAUUUUAAAUGAUGCUUGUGGAUCGUUGGUAUGAAUUCAAAUGCUAUUAGUGUCAAUGUGCAAGUGUACACAACAAGUAAUAAAGUGAUGAGUAUUCAAAAUCGUCUCCACAGGGAUUGAUGUUAUCAGACUUACUACAGUAAUUUUAACAGUGCAGAUUUUGUUCUAAAUUAAAAUAAAACAAUUAAUGAAACUAAUAUACUAAUUAAAAUAAAAACGCAAUAAAUAAAAUGCAACAAAGUAAAUUAUCAGUCAAACUCAAGGAUAAAACCAAUGGGAAUAUAGAGUGGUUGAGUGAAUAAACUCUCCUAAUGGCCUUGAGUAUUUUCUACUGGUUGGCUCGGUUACUGCAGUAUCUGCUACAGCACUGGGCAGAAUCCUUAUGCAUCUUCAGCCGUCCCAUGUUGGAUAUCUUAUAUCUAUAUGCAACCUAACGGUGAUCAAUUGUUAUGCAAACAUAAGAUAUAGCAUUACACGCUUAGGUUCUAUUUACCCUACAAGGUGAAUUCAUAUGUCUAAUUCAUCACUAAUCUUAAAUCAAGUAUGGCCCUUUUGGGACUCAAGUAAAACUCAAUCCAGAAAACCCAAUUUAAGAUCAAGUAUUGUUUUGAUAUGUUCCACUAAGAUAGACUCUUUUGUGGCUCUUCCUUAGCUAGUAUCAUUAAAUGGGUGAUCAGUUGAAAUAAUGAAUAAAAAUAAAUUCUAUCAAAACAAAAUGCUACAGCAAAUAUGCAGCAACACAUAUUUUCAGUCAAUAAACCAUCAAGAUUGUUUAUCACUCAACUACAAAUAAAUUUAGUUCAUAAUUUGUAAAAGAAAAAUAAAGAGCAAAGUUUCAGCCAUAAAACACAUCCCCGUGAAUAAAUAGAAAACAAUAGAAGAAUAAGAAUGGCUGAGCUCCCAAUUGAUCUCUAUAAUUUCUCCUCUUGUGGAGCCCUUAAUCUCUCUCUUGAAUCUUGUUUUUCUUUUGUUUCUUUGUAGUUUUUCUCCUUGGGUUACGGCCCUCUUUAUUCCUUAUGAUGUGUGCUUCUUUUAUAGCUGAAAAUUAGAGUAAACGGAAGCCUAGGGCGCGCAUAAGUCAGAUUAGGAAACUGCAGAUCGCAAUUCUGCAAGUAUUCCGUGUGAAAUUUUCUCUAUCGUUGUUCCAAGAUUGCUACAGCAACGGCUACAAAAAAUGCAUUGUUCUAGAUUUGUUUCAAUUCUUUUGUAGUUAAGUUCUUUUCCAUCUUUUGCAAGCUUAUUACAUCAGCAUUCCUUCCUUGAAAUUUGGACUUCCGAACACCUACAUUUAUGCAUAUGAUUUAGCACACAAAUUAUUCUAAAUCAAACACAAUUUAUUACGAAUAAACUAAGAUGAAUGUUUAUGUAAAAUAUAAUAAAAAUGCAAUGAAAACACAUUAUUUACUCUCUAAGUAUUAUUGAUUUAAGUCUAAAAGUGUUAUGAUAACUCUUAUUUUAUAGAGUUAUCACACCCCCAAACUUAAACCAUUACUUGUCCUUAAGUAAUGACAACAACACUUCACAAUCAUGCAACAAUUAACUUAGCUCUAAUGUCAAAAUUGCAAGGAUUCGUCAACCCUCAGAUCACACUCUUAAUCACGCAAAAUAACCAUAGCAGUUCAAUUCUAGACUUAGGCUUCAUUCUGUCCAAAAUGUAUGUGUGCCACUUUGAUCAAAUUCCAGAGGUGCUACAACACUACAGAGACAUUGCAUAUAAUUUAGAGGUAGAACACAGAUGUAUUCACAUAUGGGGAAGCGGAAUUCACAAAUAAACUCAAAUUGUGCUACAACAAACACAAUUAUUUUUUUGGGAGCAAUUAGACAUAUUUGCAUGUGAAGUCAAGCCAAGGAAACUGAAUUCAACAGAUUAAUUCAUCCAUGCACAUGAAGACAAAGAAGAUUACGACCAUCACGUGAGAAGCAAUCACCAUUAUUGUUAGCAUGUGCAUGGCAUUAAAAAAGGAAUCCUACUGCAAUUCUAAGUGGUGAGCACGUGUGAGAGCAAAACAAAUUAAAAGGCCAAGCCUUUUGGCUUUAGAAUUGGAAUGGUCGGUGGCCCAUUUUGGAGAUUAUAAAAAGAAAGGUGAACUUUGGCUUUUAAUAGGGCAGCUGUGAAAGGAGAAAAAAGAGAGAAAUGUUACGCAUUCGGCAGAGAAGAAAAUAGUGGCGGCAGCUCUUUAAUUUUUCCAUGACUGGUUUUAUUUUAUUUGUUGCUCCCAAUUCAAGUAUGUCUAUCUAAUUUUCUUUUACUAAGGUUAAGGAUAAAACCCUAUCCAAUGAAAUAAUUAUAUUUUUAUUUAAUUAAUACCCUACAUGCGUGUUUUAUUGUUUAUGGUUCUUGUUUCAUAUGAUUAGUUAAAUGUUAUUAAAUCUUUUCAUCAAUUCUAUCAAGCAUUAUUGAUUGUUAGGAUUAAUAUUCGAUUAAUUUAUGUUUUGGUGUAUAAAGUUUUUAUAUGAUUAUCUUUAAUUUUAUAUCUUUCAUUAAAUUAUUUACACAGAGUGCUUAGGAAAAUUUUGACUCUUUGUUAUUCAAUAUGUUUACAUGAGAUGUUUAGAUAUCAUACUAUUAAGCAGAAAAAGAACAGACAUUAGAUUUAAUUACUUGGGUUUAAUUGUUAUAUCCAUGAGAUGACAUAGAUUGAUUUCGAGUUGUCACUUUAAAAUUAGGGAUUAAUUAACAAUUUGAUAAUUAUUAGUUGAAUAGUGGUGGAUUCUGAAACCUUAGUAAUUUUUGUCUUAUUGAAUUCUCCUUUAUUUUAAUUGUUUUCUUAGUUUAAUUAGUUUAAUUUAUCUUAAAACUCAAUUUGCUCAACUAGGUUAGAAUUAAUAUUAAUUUUAUAUUUAAAUUAGACAUUUCAAUUUAUAACAAUUCAUGUGGGUUCGAUCUCGUUACUACUGUUUUAUUUUUAGAUUUGUGUGCUUAUGAGUAUAUUAAAAUUUUUCAUAGCAUCAUGCAAGCAAACUUUUCACUUGCAUAUCAAAUUGCGAUGGUGGUGAGGAAAAUUUUUUUUUUUUACAUUUUAAGGAUAAUUUUAAAAAUAAAAUGAUUAAUUGAAUAACGGAAACUAAUGAGAUAAAUUGAAAGAUCAAAUAUCAUUUCAACAAAGGUAUUAUUAUUAUUGUCAUCAUUAUUUAUUUUUUAAAUCCAUACGGAGCUACAGCUCGAUGCACUGGUUCAAAUGUGCUCUACUUUAUUAUAUUCUUAGAACUUGAGUUAAACUUGAAAUUGUCACUCUCUUAGUAAAAUUUAAGAGAGUGGGUUCGAAUCUCAAGGAAUUCUAUAUUUCAUAUUUGUCACGAGUAAUAAAAAAAAAUCUCGAAAUUAUAAAUGGAGAAUAUGAGAAAUUUGAAAUUAGCUGCAAAAUGAUGUCAUCCAUCUAGGGAUGGCAAAACCCCGGGCUGGGUCCGGAUAUUGCAAUGACCGGACCCUGCCCGAAUGCAACCGGUCUGGGUUCAGGUCCGGGUUUUAAUCCAGGUACUUAAAUUUUAUAUUUUUUAAUAUCAUAUGUGUAUAUAUUUUAUAUUUUUUGGUAAUUUUAUAAGUUUUAAAUUUAUUUCAAUAAAAUUUGACAUGAAAAUAUAAAUUUUAAGUGUUUAAAAUUUUAUAUAUGUAUAAUAAAUGAGUCAAAUAAAUAUAAAUAUUUAAAAUAAUAAAUAUUUUAUAAUUUUUUUAAAAAAAUUUAGAUUCCAAAUUUAUCAAGUGAUGCCCAAAAUCAACCCGACUUCAUAUCCAAACUAAAAAAUACCCAACCUACAAUACUUAAAUACGAUCUAAGUCUGAACCAAACGGAUAUUUUUACCACCUCUACAUCCAUCCAAGAUAAGACGGUGAUCAUUAAGAUAACGAAUAGGUUCCUUUCAAGAUUACAGCUGGACAUGGGCUGAGAGAAAAUUUUUUUUUUUUUUUCUCUUUUUGAGCUUUGGAGAAUAACAGGAGGUGAUAAUUAAUUAAACAAACAAACACCACUCGACAAAAUUAUAAACGACAAGAAGAAUUAUUUCAUUCAAGUUUAUGUGGUGACGAUUCAAGAUAACAUCGGGGCACGAGGGGGACGGUCAACAGACAAAUUACCAUCACAAUAAACGUGUCAAAUAAAUGCAGGUGCGCCCCGAAGAGAGGAAGAAACUCCAAAUUAUUGGAUAAUCAUAGCAAAAUGGUAUUGCUUGCCUAGAUCAGAAGUAAUCUUGUAUCAUUUUUUAGCUUCCCCAAAUUCUGUUUCUGUACACUGUAAGUAUUUUUCAUCCUCAUUUUCUUGUUUCCACUUUCCAUUAUGCGUUAUAUCACCAUUUAUUUUCAUCUCGACAUUUGGUUUCAAUCAGAUCACCGGAGGAAAUAAAGAUGGGAAGAACACAGAUCAUCUCAAAGAGCACCGUCUGUGCAGCAAUUCACAAGGAACCAAACCUUAGAAUUUGAUACCAUUCAGAAAGGACUUCUCUUCCGCAAACCUCCAAAUGAUAACACCGAUACCAGCAGCGUAAACUUGAUCCACCACCUCAAGACCUCCCUUGCACGAACGCUAGACUACUUUCCCGCACUUGCCAGUCGCCUAGCCACCAUUGAGCAUCAUGAUGACAGCAACACAAUUUCUGUUUACAUAAAUUGCAACAAUGCCGGCGCAGAGUUUGUGCACGCCACGGCCGAUGGAGUCUCUGUUGCAGAUAUCAUUUCACCUGUUUAUGUUCCUAAUGAAAUUGUUUACUCUUUUUUCCCACUAAAUGGAGUAACAAACUGUCAGUGUAUCUCCGAGGCCAAGCCGUUGCUUGGGGUUCAAGUGACAGAGCUUGUGGAUGGAAUCUUCAUCGCUUGCACUAUCAAUCACUCCGUUGUUGA